This 46912-nucleotide long non-coding RNA is filed under the name Solanum tuberosum (potato). RNAcentral describes it as "long non-coding RNA (STUB_LNC001200)". The record is from RNAcentral. Lineage: Eukaryota; Viridiplantae; Streptophyta; Magnoliopsida; Solanales; Solanaceae.
ACAUGCUUACCAUUAAUCCUAAUGCUUCUGAUUAUUGUUACGACUAUACAAACCAAAGGAUGCAGUCAUCAUAUCCAACAACUCUUUCCUGGAACAAGAGCACAGAUUGUUGCUCAUGGGAUGGAGUUCAUUGUGACGAGACGACAGGACAAGUUAUUGAGCUUGAUCUCGGUUGCAGCCAACUUCAAGGCAAGUUUCAUUCCAACAGUAGCCUCUUUCAACUCUUCAAUCUAAAAAUGCUUAAUUUGUCUUAUAAUGAUUUCACUGGAUCACUCAUUUCACCUAAAUUUGGUGAGUUUUCAAGUUUAACGCAUCUUGAUUUGUCGGAUUCUAAUUUUUUGGGUCUAAUCCCUUCUGAAAUCUCUCACCUUUUUAAACUACAAGUUCUUCGAUUCAGUGGUCUAAAUGAGCUUAGACUUGGGCCUCACAACUUUGAACUGCUCCUUAAGAACUUGACCCAAUUAAGAGAGCUCAACCUUGACUCUGUGAACAUCUCUUCCACUAUUCCUUCAAAUUUCUCUUCUCAUUUAACAACUCUACAACUUUCAGACACACAGUUACGUGGGCUAUUGCCUGUAAGAGUUUUCCACCUUUCCGAUUUAGAAUUUCUUGAUUUGUCAUCCAAUCUCCAGCUCACUGUUAGGUUACCCACAACCAAAUGGAAUAGCAGUGCAUCACUCAUGAAGUUAUAUCUCGGUUAUGUGAAUUUUACUGGUAGGAUACCUGAAUCAUUUCGCCAUCUAACUGCACUACAUGAGUUGGACAUGAGUUCUUCUAAUCUGUCAGGGCCCAUUCUUAAACCUCUAUGGAAUCUCACCAACAUAGAGAGUUUGUUCCUUGAUGAUAACCAUCUUGAAGUACCAAUUUCCCAGUUCUCGAUAUUUGAAAAGCUCAAGUACUUAUCACUUCGAAAUAACAGCUUUGAUGGACGACUUGAGUUCUUAUCCUUUAACAGAAGUUGGACCCAACUAAUUGAAAUGCUAGAUUUUUCAUCCAAUUCCCUAACUGGUCCAAUUCCAUCCAACGUAAGUGGACUACAAAACCUAAAACAGCUCUACUUGUCGUCAAACCACUUGAAUGGGACUAUACCUUCCUGGAUAUUCUCCCUUCCUUCACUGAUAGUGUUAGACUUGAGCAAUAACACUUUCAGUGGAAAAAUUCAGGAGUUCAAGUCCAAAACAUUAUAUGCUGUUGCUCUAAAAGAAAAUAAGCUGGAAGGUCCUAUUCCAAAGUCACUCCUAAACCAGCAGAGCCUACGAUUUCUUCUCCUUUCACACAAUAAUAUCAGUGGACAUAUUUCUUCAGCUAUCUGCAAUCUGAAAACAUUGUUUCUACUAUAUUUGAAAAGUAAUAAUUUGGAGGAAACAAUCCCACAAUGUUUGGGUGAGAUGAGUACAGUUUGGAUUUUGGAUUUAAGCAACAAUGGUCUUAGUGGGACAAUUAAUACAACUUUUAGUAUUAGAAACCAAUUCAAGAUCAUUAAAUUGGAUGGCAAUAAGCUACAGGGGAAAGUUCCACCAUCUUUGAUCAAUUGUGAAAAUUUGGAAUUUCUAGAUUUAAGUAACAAUGAGUUGAAUGACACGUUUCCAAAAUGGUUGGGAGACCUACCUCAUUUACAGGUCUUAAAUUUGAGAUCAAAUAAGUUCUAUGGCCCUAUAAGGACUGACCACUUGUUUGCUCAAAUUCGAGUCAUAGAUCUCUCAUCCAACGGAUUUAGUGGAGAGUUACCAUUGAGCUUGUUUCAGAAUUUUCAAGCCAUGAAAAAAAAUGGUGAGAACAGUGGAACCCGAAAGUAUGUAGCAGAUAUAUAUUCUAAUUAUUACAAAAAUUCUUUGAUAGUGACAACAAAGGGACUGGAUUAUGAACUUCCUCAAGUUUUGACUACACAAAUAAUUAUCGAUCUCUCAAUGAAUAGAUUUGAAGGUCGUAUUCCAAACAUUAUUGGAGAUCUUGUUGGACUUCGUACGUUGAACUUAUCUCAUAAUGUCUUGGAAGGUCACAUACCAGAAUCACUGAAACAUUUAUCUGUACUCGAAUCAUUGGAUCUCUCAUCUAACAAAAUCAGCGGAGAAAUUCCGCAACAACUUGUGUCCCUCACGUCACUUGAAGUCUUAAAUCUCUCUCACAAUCAUCUUGUUGGAUGCAUCCCCAAAGGAAAACAAUUUGAUACGUUUGAGAAUAGUUCAUACCAAGGGAAUGAUGGGUUACGUGGAUUGCCACUCUCAUAACAUUGUAGCAGUGAUGAUCAAGCGACAACUCCAGCUGAGCUAGAUCUAGAAGAAGAAGAAGAAGAAGAUGAAGAUUCACCAAUGAUCAGUUGGCAAGCGGUUCUCAUGGGUUACGGUUGUGGUCUAGUUAUUGGACUGUCCAUAAUAUACAUAAUGUUGUCAACUCAAUAUCCAACAUGGUUUUUGAGGUUGGUUGUGCAAUUGGAACACAGAAUUACUACGAGAAUGAAAAGGCACAAGAAAAGAUAUUAGUGUGAAGUGUUUGUUAUCCUAUGAAUAAACACAUGACUUUUCUUCCUUUGAGACUCAAAUCAGAGUUUGCUUUCAUUUGUCUAUGGCAUGUAGAUAUGUGCCAUCACUAAAAACAUAGUAUUUCACUCAACUCUUUCACAUAACAUCAUAACACAAACAUAGAACACUCGACUUUAAGUUCGGAAACAUAAAAAUCUGUAUUUACAGAGUUUGAAAAUAUUUCUUUUCAGACUCAUGAUGGUCCUGUUAAGAAAUCACCACCAACUUAAUUAAUCUCCAAGACAUUUCAAAGAAGAAUCUAGAAUAUUCAAGAGUUAUAAAGAAAUAAAGGAAGAGCUCUAGAAUGAGUAUUCUAGAGAGAAAAGUCUAGAGUUGUCCUAGAUAAGAUAGUUCUAGAAAUAGGAAGUUAGAAGAACAUUCUAGAAUGUAGUAGCAAAACCCUUAGCUAGAUUCUUCCAUCACCACCUAUAAAUAGAGGUGGUCCAUUUGAGUUGUAAGCAAUCAAGAAAGAAAGCAAGAAACAAAGUAAGAAAGCAAGAAAGAAAGUAAGAGAGAAAACAAGAGUGAGUGCUAAGUUAAGAGUGUUGCUGAAGCAAGCAACAAGUGUGAUCAAGAUUGUAAGACCGAAGCGGGUCCUUGCUUUGAUAUAAUAAAAUUCAAGUUGUGAGAAAUUGAUUGUGUCCGUCGUCUCCAAACCAAUAAUAUUCAACAGGUCCUUCAUCAAAAGAUAAUAAACAUUAGGAAAAAUAUUCGCAUUAUUCUCUACUGCCUGAGCCUUACAUAGACAACAUCAUGUGUUUUCAACUGGAAUCUACAUUCUUUGAAGAGCUGAAGAAAGAACCUUCAACUCUUCCCAUCUAAGUCUCGGAUGACAGAGUUACCCGAUAUCUCUAUUGGUGGAAGGUAGAUGGUACCAGUUGAAUUAAUUGAAUAGAACACAAGUUGACCCAAGCAUCACUGUUACACAACAACAAACUACGCCUCAGCCCUAAAAAAUAACUUGCAUAGAGACCUGCAAUAAUGUUCAAACCCCAAAAUAAGAUUAGACAUAAACACAUAACUGAGUGAUAGAAUUUCUAGUGAUCGAAAUCCAUAAGGAUUUCAAACUUCAUUUAGGAAGAAAUCAAGCAGAAGCGCUUGACUAUAGGUGAGCUUUAUCGUGAUCAACUAUUGUUCAGAUUAAUUAAUUAGCAAGCUGCUGCAUAAUUUCAAUGUUUCGGGGCAAAGAAAAAGAUUCAUAAAACAAAAGUAGAAAACAAUAGGAAAUACCUCGCCAAACAAAAGGAUAUCACUACAGCUUUCUUUAAGCAGUGCUUUAAUCUCUCUGCAAAAUCCAUAUGCAGCAUCCUUUUAACUGAUUUUGAUGAGUCGAGAUUUCACAAAAAUGUAUCUAUCAAGCUAUGACUUAGCUGAUGCUGCAGUUAACAUCUCCACUAAAUAAAACUGUGGGCUGAAACCUUGUGUAUUCCAGCAUCUAACAUUGCUUUUCUCAAGGCAGCAGCAUAAUCCCACCUCUCUGCGCCAGCACAAAUGAUUCGGUUGCGACUCAAGCAGUAGUUGUGAUACUUUAUUGUCACGCCUCGAGCCUACACACCCUGGGCGGGACUGGCACUCGAAGACCAUUGCUGGCCCCAAGCAAACCCUUGGUUUGGCUUACUUAACUCAGUGGAAGACAAUAUUCAUACUUAUAAUGAUCAAUAACACUUAACUGAACUGAAUAAUAAGAUAACUAAGAAUAUUAAAAGUUAAACAUUCAACUUGGCCAAAAGUGGCAUCCAAGUCUUAACAAUAAGAAAUGAUACUGAAAAGACUCAAAGGACUAACAUCUAACUGUCUAUGAUGCCUCUAAAACAACCGAGAUGGAUGUUGGGAUAGACCCCACAAUAUCCUAAUGCACUAAACUAGAAAACAAUGAAAAUAGAUCCUUCGGAAUGCAAGGAGGCUCACUGGCUGACUGUGAACUGCUCACUGGAUCAACGGUGCGCUGAAAUGCCGAUCUUAGUUACCUAUGUCUACAUCAUAAGACGAUGCAGGCCAACUGGCAUCAGUACAUUGAAUGUGAGUAUGCGAAUUGGAAUGCUAAAACAACAUAGGCUAGAAAGAAUCUGAGAGAAAUUGAAGAACUUACCUGGCUCAACUCAACUCAACCUAACUGAACUCAUUUCAAGAUAAAGCAGUUUAAAAGCAAGUGCAAUAUAAAGAAAAGAUGUUUAAAAACAUGAUAUCAACUUUGUGUAUGCAAAGAUACAAAUAACUCUGAGAUGUAUGUAAAAAUACAAAUAAACUGAUGUGUAUAAAAAUACAAUACUUCUGUGGGAGUUUUUCUAAACGACAAUCAUCACAUAAAAGUUAUUGUGAUGAUACAACGAUCUACCUCACGCUGUCAGCGCAUCCUAUACCCGCCCAAAGGUAUAGGACCUGAAUUGCCUAAUGGAUCCACUAGUCCAUUGCGAAAAUGAUUCAUCUAAAAAGUAUGACCCUUUUCUACCCAUGGUAGCUACAUUGUUUUAUGGUGACGUGAGUUAUUUGAACUCAUGCUCGUCCCCAAUUCGUUGCUCAAUACUACUCCCAAAAUAUACGGGCUCUUAUGUUUUAAAAACAUACUUCUUCUGUGGUUUGAAAUUAGUGCUCAAAAACUUAGCUCAACGGCUAUCUUGGAAAUCUCAGUUUCCCUUCUUGCUUCAUUUAGAAAGCUAUAACUUUUUCUGAAAACUUGCCCGAAGGCUCUUUGGAAAUCUCUUGUUUAAAUGUGCAAACAUUUAAAACCCUUUUGGGAAUACAUAGUCCCCAUAUACUUUUGAAGAAAUGAACUUCAAACUUUACUCUUUACUCUUUACUCAACUUGAACUUUAAGUCUUAAAACAAAGUUAAAACAUUUGGAAAAGACUUUUGGAAUACUCCAAGAACUUAUCUUGACUUGACUCUUAUUUCUCUUCACUUUGAUCUUAACUUUCCUUGAAUUGGAGUAUGGAUUCAAGGUUCAUGAUCUCAUGUUUAUGGAUGAUUUCAUGAUGUUUAGAUGUACCUUAGAGUGUUGGAAUCAACUAGAAAACGUAGGUACAUCACUAAGGAACAUGUACUAAAAGGUGGGGAACGAAUGGGGAGAACUGGCGUCCCUAGCACUUUGUGAGGCGCGGGGCGCCAGCCCUUAAAGUUUAGAGAACUUUCUGUGGCGCUCUGGCUGGCGCGACGCGCCAGAGGCCAAAGUUCAGAGGAACUUUUGUGGCGCUCUGGCAGGAGCGGUGCCCCAAGCCCUUGCCCAGAAAACUCCGAUUUUUCUCCUUCAUUUUUCAUCUCUAAACCCUCUAAAGUUCAAUGGUUCUUUUCCCAAACACUUAGAAUCAUUAGCACCCUCAAUAUACAAUAGAUUCAACACGAAAUUUCACCAGGAAACAUGAAUCAAAUCAUCAAGAAACUUCAACAACACAACCCUCAAGAAUUCAACGAAACUUUCAGCAAUGUUCAUCAAGAACUCAAUUUCUAAUCAUUCAAAGACUUAAAUUCGCUGAAUUGAAUCAUGUUUGGCGUGUGGGUGAACUAACCCAACGCUAUGUGAUCUCACAUACCUUGUAGGGAUCACCCCCGACGAAUUCCAGAAGUUAAAUUUUGACAAUCUUGGCGAUUCUUGAUUUCUCUUCUCUCAAAACCUUAACUCUUUUGGUAAAAGUGUAAACUGAUCUAAUUCAGCUUAGACCCUUAAGUAAUUACCAAAAACGAAUUAAAAUAAAAGGGUAAGGAAAAGACCAAACUACCCUUUCAAAAUUCGGAUUGGACAUUUCCUUAAUCCAACAGCCCAACUUCCAAGGGUAUAUCUUACUCAUACGAACUCAGAAUCGCAUAAACUUGGCGGCGUUGGAAAGAUAAUUCCAAGAUAUUUCCAAACAUAUCUGGAAUUUCACCUAACUCAUCUUGAGCUAGGAGUUAUGGUCAUUUGAAGUUGACCAAAAACUCAACUUUAACUUGCUUACAAUUUUCCAGAUUUCCUUAUACUUUCCAAAAAUAACUAUUUCCAGAUUUUAAACUUCUUUCUAGUUCUCUCUAGUUGCGAGAUGUUACAUUCAUUUCCCAAUUCAAUAGCUCCAUGAAGUCUACAAGCACCCAUCAGAGCCCCCAAGACAGUGGCAUCAGCUUCAAAAGGCAUCUUCUUUAUGAAGUCGUACGCUUCCUGUAGUAGCCCAGCUCUCCCUAAGAGAUCAACCACACAACGGAAAUCAACAAGAUAAUGUUCCAUCUUAGCUACAAGUCAAAAUUCAUGAGACAUUGCUUCAAACAAUACAAAACUGAAAUCGACAAGCUUGGAAUACUCGCAAGCUGAUAGAACAGACACAAAGGUAAUCUCAUUUGGUUGCAGCCCCUUUGCCCUCAUCUUCUCAUACAUCAUUAAUGCGUGCUUCUCUCUUCCAUUCAAAGCUAGGGAAGAAAUCAUAACAUGACUAUUGAAACUUUUACCAUUGAGCUAACUUCUAAGAAAAGGGUUGUAGAUUAUUUCUGAUACAUUAAGUUCUAUUCAACCUCCUUUAUGAUGCAAAUAACAUAAAUGAAAGGCAAUGAAACAGUGCUAAAUUACGAAGGAGAUUUGAUAUAUAGCUUAGAGAAGAUUUGGGCCUCUUGAAGUGUAACAGCCCAAAGCACAAAACACUCAAGGCCCAAUCUGUUCAUUGACCCAAACCAGCAAAACAAAAGAAAAUAAAAAUCAGACACAAAAGUUGAGUCUUUAGAUCAUUCAAUCAGACGAUAUGUGCACUCACUAAAAACAUUGUGUUUCACUCAACUCUUUUACAUAACACAAACAUAGAACACUCGACUUUAAGUUCAGGAACUUAAAAAUCUGUAGUUACAGAGUUUGAAGAUAUUUUUCUGCAGACUCAUGAUUGUCUAUAUUAAGGUAUCAGACAAAAUGCAUGUGUUUUCACAAUUGGCCGUGUUAUCAAAUAACUACAUGAACUCUAAGUACUAAUACAUAGAAAUUUUCUUCUCUUUUUUAGUUUUGUAAUAGAAAGGCAAAGUUGUGUGCGGGCAGGGUUGUUGAGGGAACCAAAACCUGUUGUGUGGGGGCAGGAUUGUUAAUGACUAAAAAUAUGUUGGAUUAAUGAAGGAAAAUAGAGGACCAAAAACAGCUACAAUGCCAUAAGUUCUGACCGUGUUCAAAUUUUAAAAGAUUGUAAAUGAUAUUAUCAGCAUUUGAUAUAACAUAAUUAAGGCAACCAAAAACAUUGUGAGUGUCUACAAAUUCUGAAGAGGCUGUAAAUUUUUUUUUAUUAACAUUUAGCUUAACUAUAAAUAAGGCAACAAAGUAUGGAUUUCUUUUUAAAAAUUUGAAGAGGCUGCAAAAGAUAUUACUAGUAUUUACCAUAACAUAAAUAAGGGAACAUCUAUUAUUGUCUAUAAAUAAGGUACUUAUUAGCAUUGCUGUAAUAUGUUCUAAUUAUUAGUACAUGUUAAACUUCUUAUUUACUCAUACCUUUAGUAAAUGAUUAAUGUCUUUAAGUCUCCAAAUACAAGCUUUAUUUUCAUAGUUUCUGUUGUUUCAUCUUAGAUUUUUAUUACUGCCUGUUGUUUCUUUAGCCUCAAUUACUGUAUUAUCUUGUCGUUUUUUCUGCUUAUAUUACUGCAUUCUUUUCAUUUUUCUUUGGGCCGAGAAUCUAUCGAAAAUAACCUCUCUACCUUCAAGGUAGUGGUAAGGUUUGCAUACAGACUAUCCUCCCAAGACGGUCAGGCCCCACUGGUGGUAAUCAAUUACACUGAGUUUGUUUGUUAGCCUAUGAAGAACCUGCCAUGUCUUGACUCCUUCACUGUCUUCCAUCACUUGUUUCUGUCAAGUUGUGGUGUGUGUGAAGAGAGCAAAACAAAGAUAUUUUUUCGUGACAUUCAAACAAAAUGUAUGUGUUAUUACAAGUGGUGGGACUUUGUGUUACGUUGUUUCUUUCAUUUGAAUCUUUCUAUGCUAUCUUAUUUAUCGUCCCUUCCAUCACUUGUAAACAUACAUAUACGUAGUAAUUUUCAUUUGAAGAGUACGUUUGUGGAACUUUUUAGUUGUGUAAAUUUUCUUUCAAGAUAAGUAAAAGAAGUCUAUAUAUAUCUGAAUUUACUAUGAAAAUUUUAAAAAGUAACCUUCAUUUUUUAAUUUUCUCUGGAACGAAAAUGGACUAAUGGACCUAAGAUCAUGCUGAAAGACAGAGUUGAUGGACAACAGGUGAAUAUCAUAACUUUUACUAUUUUAAUAAAAUUGAGCUUGAUAUUUUCAUUGGAACAAACUCUCAUUCUUUUGUUAAAAGUUGAAUUUGGUAACAAACACAAGGCCAAAUACUUAAACAUGUGUAUCUUGAGACGUAGAGAAAGCGAAUUUUUGACAAAAGUAAGCCAUUAUUUAAAUCAAUUCACCAAAGUAAUAUGUUUUUUUGAAAAUUUACAGAACUAGUAUGUAUAAACGUAUUCCUGAGUAACGUUUUAGGCUAUAUUUUAUUUUAAAAAAUUUAGACGUGUAAAAUAUAUGGACUGACGGCGUUAAAUAAAGAAACGUUACUAGGGGUAACGUUUUAAGCAUAAUAUGUUAUUGUCAAAUACGUUUUAUAAUUUGUUACUCGAAGGCACGUUUUAUAGCUAAAACGUUACUCACAGUAACUGUUUCUUUAAAAUCCAUUUACACACACGGGUCUUUUAGUUUGCUUAGUACAUUUCUUGUUAAUGUAUCAAGUGGAGUACUUUUAAUGGGUUUUAGUUGUGUUUAUAUCCUUUCAAUUAGUUGUAAGGUAACUUCAAUCCAAAAUACCAACAAUGCACAAUUUAUUUAUUUUUUCGUUCUUGUCUCUAAUUUUGAAUAAACUAUGUUUGUGUGCAUAACCAUGUUCUAUUGGAUUUUUCUUGUGAAAAUCAAGUGAACAAAAAGGAUAAAAUAAAUAAAUAACAGUGAUGAUUUUUCUUACAAUUUUCCGCCUAGUGUUCGAUAAAUUAUAGUGAUAGAUUACCACCUCAAAUUAACACCCUAGCAAGAGAAAAAAUCUCUCGAGUUAGAAAACCAACAUUAUACAUGUUGAGAAUAUAUACCAAGAAAAAAGAGAGUAAAGAACCAAACAAAUGAAUAUUUUUAAUGACAAAUUAAAGCCUUUGUCAAUAAGGCAACAAACAUUCUAUUUUUUAGCAAAAGGUAUAGGAAUUCAAAUGUAUGUCUGUACAAAACCAAAGCCAAUAAACUCCAUUGUAUAGAGCAUUUUCACCUAUGCUAGAUUUAACUAAUUUAUCACAAUAAUACAAGAAGCCUAGCUGCUAGAAAAUUUGAUCAGCUCACCAUAUUUACAAAAGAAUGGAUGAAAUAUCAUUAACAUGUGCUCACUAGAUAAUAAGUGAAAUUACCACCACUCGUGAAUCCAUGCCUGCAUAUAUGUACACAAAAAAUUCUAUUAUAACAUAAAUAUUGUGUUAGGAUAGGAGGAUGCAUUCGACAAUAGUAUGAUUUUAUCGAUCAAUUAUAGCAGAGUAUAUUUGCUUAACAAUUCUGAACAAGAGUAUCAAAAUUAACAACUGAAGCUACAUGGAAGCCAACAUUUUAAAUGCAACUAAAGCUAUGAAUAUAAGUGCGAGUUGUAAACGUUGUUGGUUCCAAAUUAGAUAAAUUCUCAUAAAUUAUGGCAAGACAAGGUUGCUGCAAAGAAAAGUGAUUCACUGUCAACUACCUUACUAACAUAAAGUAAUUCUUUAUUUUCUUCUUCGUUUUUUGUUUUGUAAUAGAAAGGGAAAGUUCUGUGGGGGUGAGGGCAGGGUUGUUAAGGGAACCAAAAUGAAGAUAUCAGAAAAUCUAGUAACCAACACGGCCUCAUGGUCUCAGAAGGAUAAUCUCGAAAAGCUUGAAGAGUAAAACAAGUUGAUAUCUGAAUUUACCUCGAAAAUUUUAAAAUGGCCUUCAACUUGGAACUAUUAAUUUUCUUUGUAACAAACUGAAUGAACGAAAAUGGCUUAUUAUUAAUUUGUUAAAAGAUGUAUUAGAACCAUUGGGAGGACUGUUUUGAGCCAUUAGAACCAGGUAAAAGAAUAAGUUCUGUCACAACAAAUUGUAGGAAAUACGCAUUGUUGAGCUUAUGCUCGAAAUCAAUUAAGGGUACGAAAAGUUUUGUCACUUACAAAGAAAAUGCUUGUGCCAUCUCAAAAGUUUCGUAACUUACAAAGAAAAUGGAAAGCAUUCUUUCUUGCUAUGGUCAGGUCAAUAUGGUCGUGAAAUUCUUCAUAUUUUUUAAUUUAAAAUCGAUGUAUUUGAAAACAAUAUAUUAUACAAAUAGGAUCUAUUUCAAAAAUGAUCACUAAACUUUAAAAGUUGUAACAGUAAAGUCGUAAAAUUUAUUUGCCUUAAACUUACUGCACAUAGGAGUAUGGGGAGUAUAUUUGCUUCUGAUUAAUGUCUAUUAUUCUCCAGGAUACAAAUAUUUGGCCUUCAAAAGCAAACAGUUUCUCUCCAACUACAAACUUUAUUUUCAUCUUAGAUUUUUAUUAUUACUUGUUGUUUCUUUAGCCUUGAUUGCUGUAUUAUCUUGUUGUAUUUUCUGCUUGUUGCUACUUCCUUCUUUUGCAUCUUUCUUUGAGUCAAGAAUCUAUUACAAACAACCUCUCAGGUCUCCGUACACACUAUACUAUCCAUCACUGAAAUUGAGGACUAUAACAACGUGUUUCUUCCGUUCUACUCUCCGAGAGGACAAGAACAACAGUUUCACACUCACCUAUAAGUUCCAGGAAGAUAGAGAAAACAAGUUUAAUCUAGUUGGACUUAAUGAAUCAGUGGUGAAUCUAUGAAGAACAUGCUAUGUAUGGACUCCUGCACUGUCUUCCAUCAGCAGGUCAAUUCUUGUGGAAAAUUGGCUCGAGCUGGUGCACUAUGUAGGCGCUUAUUCAGAGUAGAUUUCCAGUCUAACCUUAAUGCAUUAGCAAAGUGACUCUCCUAUUCUUAAGGUAUAGAGUUGUUAUGUUUCUUUCAAAGUUUACACACCAAGUAAUACUCUUAUCCUAAACAAUUUUGUUGUGUGGUGGUCCUAUUCCUGGAAUCCAGUUAGGUUGGCAAAACAAAGAUAUUUUUUUUGUCUAUAAUAACGUUGCACACAAAAUGCAUGUGUAAUGUGUUAUAUACAAGUGAUGGGACUUUGUGCUUUGACUUAAGAAUGUGAACUAUUGAUAGUUUCCGGCAUUCAAUUGUGUGACACAUUGAAUGGGUAUAUGUGAUUCACAACUUCAAAUUGACUGAAAAUGACUACGUAACCAAUAGUAAAAUUUUCUUUGCUUAAUUUGUGUUAUAUAUACCUCAUCAAAAUUGUUGAAUAGACACACAAAGCAAAACAUUUCUUGAUUUCUUCUCUACCAACUUAAUUAGUUUUGAUCAUUUUUAGUGCAGAAAUGGAUUGUGUAAAACUUGUAUUCUUUAUGCUAUAUACCUUUCUUGGUCAACUUGUUUUCUCCUCAUCCUUACCUCAUUUGUGUCCCGAAGAUCAAGCUCUUGCUCUUCUACAAUUCAAGAACAUGUUUCCCAUUAAUCCUAAUGCUUCUGAUUAUUGUUUUGAAUGGAAAGAGUUUCAUUCAUAUCCGAAAACUCUUACAUGGAAUAGGAGCACAGAUUGUUGCUCAUGGGAUGGAGUACAUUGUGACAAGAUGACGGGACAGGUGAUUGAGCUCAACCUCACUUGCAGCGGACUUCAAGGCAAGUUUCAUUCCAAUUGUAGCCUCUUUCAACUUUCCAAUCUCAAAAGGAUUGAUUUGUCUUUUAAUAAUUUCACUGGAUCACUCAUUUCACCUAAAUUUGGUGACUUCUCCAGUUUAACACAUCUUGAUCUAUCAGUUUCAAGUUUUUCAGGUCAAAUCCCUUCUGAAAUAUCUUAUCUAACCAAUUUAAACGUUCUUCGUAUCACGGCUGUUGAUCCAUAUGGGCUUAGACUUGGGCCUCACAAUUUUGAAUUGCUCCUUAAGAACUUGACCCAAUUAAGAGAGCUCAAACUUGACUCUGUGAACAUCUCCUCCACCAUUCCUCUAAAUUUCUCUUCUUAUUUAACAGUUCUACGGCUUCCAUACACACAGUUACGUGGGGUAUUGCCCGAAAGAGUAUUCCACCUUUCCAACUUAGAAUUCCUUCAUUUAUCAUCCAAUCCCCAGCUCAGUGUUAGGUUUCCCACAACCAAAUGGAAUAGCAGUGCAUCACUCAUGAAGUUAUAUCUCUUAGGGGUGAAUAUUACUAGUAGGAUACCUGAAUCAUUUAGCCAUCUAACUUCACUUCAUGAGUUGGACAUGGGUAAUACUAAUCUGUCAGGGUCCAUUCCUAAACCUCUAUGGAAUCUCACCAACAUAGAGAUUUUGUACCUUGAUACUAACCGUCUUGAAGGAACAAUUUCCCAGUUCUCGAUAUUUGAAAAGCUCAAGACGUUAUCACUUGGAAAUAACAACUUUGAUGGCCGACUUGAGUUCUUAUUCUUUAACAGAAGCUGGAUGCAACUUGAAUGGCUAGAUUUGCCAUCCAAUUCCCUAACUGGUCCAAUUCCAUCCAACGUAAGCGGACAGCGAAAUCUACAAUCACUCUUCUUGUCAUCAAACUACUUGAAUGGGACUAUACCUUCCUGGAUAUUCUCCCUUCCUUCACUAACAAAUUUAGAAUUGAGCAAUAACACUUUCAGCGGAAAAAUUCAGGAGUUCAAGUCCAAAACAUUAUAUUUCGUUACUCUAAAAGAAAAUAAGCUGGAAGGUCCUAUUCCAAAGUCACUCCUAAACCAGCAGAGCCUACGAGUUCUUCUCCUUUCACACAAUAAUAUCAGUGGACAGAUUGAUUCAGCUAUCUGCAAUAUGAAAACAUUGUUGCUACUAGAUUUGAAAAGUAAUAAUUUGGAGGGAACAAUUCCACAAUGUUUGGGUGAGAUGAGUACAGUUCGGAUUUUGGAUUUAAGCAACAAUGGUCUUAGUGGGACAAUUAAUCCAACUUUUACUAUUGAAAACCAAUUCAACAUCAGUAAAUUGAAUGACAAUAAACUACAGGGGAAAGUUCCAUCAUCUUUGAUCAAUUGUGAAAAAUUGGAAUUUCUAGAUUUAAGUAACAAUGAGUUGAAUGACACGUUUCCAAAAUGGUUGGGAGAGCUACCUCAUUUGCAGAUCUUAAAGUUGAGAUCAAAUAAGUUCUAUGGCCCUAUAAGGACUGACAACUUGUUUGCUCAAAUUCGAGUCAUAGAUCUCUCAUCCAACGGAUUUAGUGGAGAUCUACCAGUGAACUUGUUUCAGAAUUUUCAAGCCAUGAAAAAAAAUGGUGAGAACAGUGGAACCCCAAAGUAUGUAGCAGAUAUAUAUUCUUAUUAUUAUAAAAAUUCUUUGAUAGUGACAACGAAGGGACUGGAUCAUGAACUUCCUCGAGUUUUGACUACACAAAUAAUUAUCGAUCUCUCAAGGAAUAGAUUUGAAGGUUGUAUUCCAAACAUUAUUGGAGAUCUCGCUGGACUUCGUACGUUGAACUUAUCUCAUAAUGUCUUGGAAGGUCACAUACCAGAAUCACUGCAACAUUUAUCUGUACUUGAAUCAUUGGAUCUUUCAUCCAACAAAAUAGGCGGUGAAAUAUCACAACAAUUUGUGUCCCUUACGUCACUUGAAGUCUUAAAUCUCUCUCACAAUCAUCUUGUUGGAUGCAUCCCCAAAGGAAACCAAUUUAAUACAUUUGAGAACAAUUCAUACCAAGGAAAUGAUGGAUUACGAGGAUUACCACCCUCAAGAGAUUGUGGCGGUGAUGAUAGGGUACCACAAGCGACAAUUCCAGUUGAGCUAGACCAAGAAGAAGAAGAUUCACCAAUGAUCAGUUGGCACGCAGUUCUCAUGGGUUACGGUUGUGGACUUGUUAUUGGACUAUCUGUAAUAUACAUAAUGUGGUCAACUCAAUAUCCAACAUGGUUUUGGAGGAUGGAUUUAAAAUUGGAACACAAAAUUAGUACGAGAAUGAAAAGGCACAAGAAAAGAUAUUAGUGUGCACUGACCUGCAGGUAUUCAACUUGAUCUUUAUCCUUCAAAAGACUACUUCUUAUAUAUCGAUUUAUUAGUGUGUAAGUUUAAUUCUUUAUUUUUGAAAAUUGCAGGAUUCAAGUCUACUGAUCAGUUGCUGAUGAUGCAGAUAAAAGCCUUUAUCUUUCAUAGUUUGUGAUGUUUCCAUAAAGUGUUUGUUAUCCUAUGAAUAAAGACAUGACUUUUCUUCCUUGAGACUCAAAUCAGAUUAUGUUUUCAUUUGUCUAUGGCUUGUAGAAAUAAAUUCGACUGAUAAACAGAAAUCGGACACAAACUGCUUAAUCUGUGUCUGUAUUUACAUUGACUCCUCUAAAUUCCAAACCUUCCUGGUAUGACAUAUCAUACCACCCCAAAUACCUUCCAGUUCCAAAUAAAUUUUCUAAAUAUCUAGCUAGAUAGAGUUUUGGAUGUGGAAAAUCCACUCGAGCUGGUGCGCUAUGGAGAAGGAGUUGUGUUCAAAGUAGAUUUUCAUCGCUACUCAAGUUUGCAUUAACAAAGUGACAUCCUACUCCUAAAAUACAAUGAAUUCCAUUGCAGCAUAGAGUGAUCCCAUAUCUAUUGGUUGAACUAUUUUGAGGCAUUUGAUGUAGACUUUGUAGGAAAACAAUAACGAAUUAGCUCAAGGAGUACUAAAAGUUCCGUUAAAGAAAAUUCUUAAAAACUACAUGUGACAACUCGUACUAUAAGAGCAUGCAAGUUUGAGUCCUCUUCAAAGCAUAAUAUUAGUGUAACACCCCGUAUUCGAAACAGACCAAAUUGCAGAUUUUUAGAAGUUGCAGGUGCGACUUACGGUCACCAUCCAUGGACCGUAGGUCAGACCACGGCCCGUGCUGGUGGUCCGUGGUUCACCACUGCAACCCUCCCCAAAUCAGCUCAGAAAAAUUGGCUAAGUCCCGACUCACGGACAGACCUACGGUCCGUAGAUCAGACCACGGUCCGUGGUCUGAGUCCGUGGAUCGAGACUUCCCUUACCUAGCCUUUGAAACAAACUACGGUCAACCAGUACGGACCGUCAUUCGAUCCACGGUCCGUAGGUCUGACCGUAGAUGAGGGUCAAGCAACCAGUUAGAUGAAAAUUGUGGUUAAGUCAACUUCAGAUGGUCAUAACUCUUAGCACAAAAUGAAUUAUGUGUCCCAUUACCUAUGGUUAGAUAGAUAAUUGAAUUAUCUCUCCAACGCCACUGAGUUUGCUAAAUUCUGACCUCCGAGUAAAAAGUUAUGCUCGUUUUAGUGAAGCCCUGUCGGGCAGACUCGACUUACGGACCCAAUCGACGGUCCGUCUAUUGAACUACGGCCCGUCAGUCCAGUUCGUCGAUUGGUCCGACAGCAGUUAAUUCAAGGGUCUUUUGGUCUUUUCCUCUUUCGUUUAACCCCUAAGAUACGUCGUUUAAACCCUAAAUCAUAAGGUUUUAGUCAGUUUAAGCCUAGAAACAUAACUAGAACUUACCUAAGUCAAAUCAUUAAUCAAAACUUAGAAAAUUAGAAGCAAGAGAGGAGAAAAAGGUCAAGAACCCUAGUUCAAGAACCCUACAAGGUUCCAUCAGUUCCAGCCUCGAAAUUGAAAGAUUUCUCCGUGGAAUUCGUCACCAGGUAUGUGGGAUUUCACUAGUGGGUUCCUUUCACCCAUUAGGUCCCUAGAAUUCAGUCAGAUUCUUGAUUCCAUGAUUAUGAACAGACCUAGGGUUUCUAGAAUUACAACAGAUCAUCAUGAAUUAGUUAUUUAAAUGUUCCAAAUCAAAUUAUCAUGUUAUUGCUGAGCUUCUCGCAUGAAUUUUAGAACCCUAGCUAUGUAUUUCUUUAGUUCUUGAAUUACACAUGCUAGGUCAAAUAUUUNNNNNNNNNNNNNNNNNNNNNNNNNNNNNNNNNNNNNNNNNNNNNNNNNNNNNNNNNNNNNNNNNNNNNNNNNNNNNNNNNNNNNNNNNNNNNNNNNNNNNNNNNNNNNNNNNNNNNNNNNNNNNNNNNNNNNNNNNNNNNNNNNNNNNNNNNNNNNNNNNNNNNNNNNNNNNNNNNNNNNNNNNNNNNNNNNNNNNNNNNNNNNNNNNNNNNNNNNNNNNNNNNNNNNNNNNNNNNNNNNNNNNNNNNNNNNNNNNNNNNNNNNNNNNNNNNNNNNNNNNNNNNNNNNNNNNNNUUAUUAGUAGCUCCCACAGUUCAGUCAGACUCUAUUGCAUUGACCAUAUUUCAGUACGGUCAGUAUUCAGUCUCAGCAUGUUAUAAAUUUGGUCAUUGCAUCAGUUAGCUCAGUAUUCAGUAUUUUCAGUAUCUAUAUCAUGUUCAGAUUAUUUCAUUGCUUUAUUGCUUUGUUCAGUGAUAUGUUAUUUCAGCUGUAUUCUAUCCUGCAUGUUUAGUACCUUUCAAGUACUGAUGCAUACGUGCGCUAUAUCUUCUCGUGAUGUAGGUUCAGGUUCUCAGCAUCCAGAUCACGCUUAGAUCGAUUCCCGAUCUUCAGUUCAGCUGCACCAGUGGUGAGUCCUCAUUCUUCGUGGACUAGUGACAUGUUUAUCUUUAUCGCUUUUAGUCUUUAGUUUCAGUUUUGAUAGAUCUAGUUGGGGCAUGUUCCAACAUUUCUAGUCAGUUUAGAGGCUUAUUUCAGACAUAGUUAGAUUUAGCUUAGUAUUGAGUUAAUAUUUUCUUUGUAUUAAACUCAUCAAUUUUUCAUAUAUCUCAGAUAUAGUAUAUGGGUAUUCCCCAUCAUUUCAGACUUACUUUAUGAUUUAGCUUCCGCAUCAGUUAUUAUUAUCUUUAGUAUGCUCAUGAUCAUGCCAGCAGGGUUAGCUUGGGAUCACUUGUGGUCCUAGGUCCCGUGUCCGCGUCUUGGGGGUAGUCUCGGGGCGUGACAAUUAGGGCUCAUCAAAUGUGCGUUCUCAACAACAGAGCUCGGAUCAUUAAUUAACAGUAUCAUUUCACUUCACAUCCUAGCACUAUCAUUCUCUGGAAAAACUUAACAGCAACUUCAGAGCACCCGUUCUUCAUGUACCCAUAAAUCAUACGAGUCUAUGAAUAAACAUCUCUAGAAGGCAUGUAAGAAAACAUCAAGAACCCCAAACCCAUUUUUCCCUCAAGCAUUGCAUUAACUAAAUUCAGUAUCAUUAUUAUCAGUUAACUAUCUCCUGGGGCCUAUUCGACUGAUAAACAGAAAUUGGAAACUACUUGAAUCAUUCGAUCAAUUUCCAACUGAGAUAAUAGCAGAAGUCGUAUGCUUAAUUUAUGGGUUGCUCAUGGCUUUGUGUCAUUUAAGUACCUAAAGAAGAAUUUGAGUGUACAUAAGACUAAUUGGUAAGGUUCUACUGGUUUAAAAUAUAAUGUUUAGGGAUCACGUACAACGCGCAAGGACAAGAUCUUAGUAAAACAUGUGAUAAUCUGCUGUCAGGAUAUUGGAAUCACAUUAAAGUUCCUAAAAGACUUAGCUUCCAAUGUCUUUUCUGGUGAAGAGCUAAAGAUUAUUGGAAAUGCUGAUAAGUAAUUGAUUACUUGUCUGUAUAUUUGUCACAUUGUUCCCUGGCCAAAAUUUUAGGAAAUAGAUGCAUUGUUGAGCGUAUGCUCGAAACCAAUUAAGGAUACGAAAAGUUCUGUCACAACAAAUUCUUAAAAGGGUAUAUGCAUAGUACACUUAUCCUAACUAUCAAAACCUUCUUUUUUUUUUUACCUUUUAAGUUAAAGUCUAUACACAAAGUAACACUCUUAUCCUGACUAAUCAAGACUUUAACGGAUUUUCGAUUUGGGACAGUAAGUAAUACCUUAAAAUCACCAGAACUGCAAAUCCAAACAAAUUUACAUGACAAAUUGUGAGAAUAAACCGACAUCAAUUGCAUAAAAUUUUGGACGAGAAAAACUCUUAAAAAUGGUGUAAUAUCAUUGGCUUUGGGUAAAACUUGCACAGUUUCCUCUUAAAUGUUCACUUUAUACAUAUCUUCUUUUUAUCUUACCAACUUCUAAUGCAAGACUUUUUUCAUACACCCAACCGACAUAAGAGAGCCAAAACAACUUUUGUAUGUGUUGUGUGUGGAGAGUUGUUAAGAGAGACACGUUGAAUGUGAAUAUGUAAUUGACAACUCUAAAAUUGACUGAACAUGACAAGGUGACCUUCCUGAAAUUGAUUACUCCAAAGCAACAACUAAAUGUACAUAGUAAAUUUCUUUUCUUAGUUUGUGCUAUAUAUACCUCAUCAAACUUACUGAAUAUAGACACACAACAAACAUUUCUUGAUUUCUUCUCUACCAACUUAAUUAGUUUUGAUCAUUUUAGAGCAAAAAUGGGUUAUGUAAAACUUUUAUUUUUUAUGCUAUAUACCGUUCUUUGUCAACUUGCUUUCUCGUCAUCCUUGUGCCCCAAAGAUCAAGCUCUUUCUCUUCUACAAUUCAAGCACAUGUUUACCAUUAAUCUUGAUGCUUCUUAUGAUUGUGAGUUUUCUCAUCCAAAAACUCGUUCAUGGAACAAGAGCAUGGAUUGUUGCUCAUGGAAUGGAGUUCAUUGUGACAAGACAACAGGACAAGUGAUUGAGCUUGAUCUCCGUUGCAGCGAACUUCAAGGCAAGUUUCAUUCCAAUAGUAGCCUCUUUCAACUCUUCAAUCUCAAAAGGCUUGAUUUGUCGUAUAAUGAUUUCACUGGAUCACUCAUUUCACCUAAAUUUGGUGAGUUUUCAAGUUUGACGCAUCUUGAUUUGUCGCAUUCAAGAUUUACAGGUCUAAUCCCUUCUGAAAUAUCUCACCUUUCUAAAUUACACGUUCUUUUUAUAUGGAACCCCUCGGGUGGUUUAUAUGACCUUAGUCUUAGUCUUGGGCCUCACAAUUUUGAACUUCUCCAUCAGAACUUGACCCAAUUAAGAGAGCUUGACCUUUAUGGUGUGAACAUCUCUUCCACCAUUCCUUCAAUUUUUUCUUCUCAUUUAACAACUCUAGCACUUUCAGACACACAUUUAUGUGGGAUAUUGCCCGAAAGUGUUUUCCACCUUUCCAACUUAAAAACUCUCGAUUUGUCAUACAAUCACAAGCUCACAGUUAGGUUUCCCAUAACCAAAUGGAAUAGCAGCGCAUCACUCAUGUACUUAAAUCUCUAUGAUGUGAAUAUUACUGGUAGGAUACCUGAAUCAUUUAGCCAUCUAAUUGCACUUCAUGACUUGGACAUGGUUAGUCUAAUCUGUCAGGGCCUAUUCCUAAACCUCUAUGCAAUCUAACCCACAUAGAGAGUUUGUCCCUUAAUGAUAACCAUCUUGAAGGACCAUUGAGCCUUUUUCAGAAUUUUCAAGCAAUGAAAACAAUUGGUGAGAACAGUGGAACCCGAGAGUAUGUAGCAGAUAAAUUUUCUUUUUUUUACACUAAUUCUAUGAUAGUGACAACAAAGGGACUGGAUCAUGAACUUCCUAGAGUUUUGACUACACAAAUAAUUAUCGAUCUCUCAAGGAAUAGAUUUGAAGGUCAUAUUCCAAACAUUAUUGGAGAUCUCGUUGGACUUCGUACCUUGAACUUAUCCCAUAAUGUCUUGGAAGGUCAUAUACCAGCAUCAUUGCAAAAUUUAUCAGUACUCAAAUCAUUGGAUCUCUCAUCUAACAAAAUCAGCGGAGAAAUUCCGCAGCAGCUUGCAUCCCUCACAUUUCUUGCAGUCUUGAAUCUCUCUCACAAUCAUCUUGUUGGAUGCAUCCCUAAAGGAAAACAAUUUGAUACGUUUGAGAACAGUUCAUACCAAGGAAAUGUUGGAUUAUGAGGAUUGCCACCCUCAAGAGAUUGUGGCCGUGAUGAUAGGGUACCACAAGCGACAAUUCCAGUUGAGCUAGAUCAAGAAGAAGAAGAAGAUUCACCAAUGAUCAAUUGGCAGGCGGUUCUCAUGGGUUACGGUUGUGGACUUAUUAUUGGAUUGUCCGUAUAAUAUGUAAUGUCUUCAACUCAAUAUCCAAAAUGGUUUUCGAGGAUGGUUGUAAAAUUGGAAGACAAACUUAUUACAAGAAUGAAAAAGUAGAGGAAAAGAUAUUAGUGUAUAGUUACCUCCAGGUAUUCAACUUGAUCAUUGUCCUUCAGAAGAUUAUUUUUUAUAUAUCGAUGAAAUUAUCGACCUCCUUCAUCCUCAAAGCUCUUAACUUUAACUCUUCAUUUUUGUAAAUUUCAGGAUUCAAGAGUUCCGAGUUCCGAGUUGCUGGGGAUGCAGAUAAAGCCUUUUUAUCGUUCAUAGUUUGUAAUGUUUCCAUGAAGUGUUUCUUAUCCUAUGAAUAAAUAUUUUGUUUUCAUUUGUCUAUGGCAUGCAGCUAUGUUCCAUCACUAAAAACAUUGUAUUUCUCUCAACUCUUUUGUCACAUGAUAUCAUAACACAAACAAAGAACACUUGAAUCAAAACCUGGAAGAAACAUCAGGAAACCAUGAAUCAAAGUUGCAGUAGUCUACUAUAUUAACUUUUUUCGUUGAAGCACAACCGACAUAUCAUGAGAAAGAGACUGUGAUCUCAGAAAUGAGAAUUUACCAAUCCACAACCCUGCAGUAUCUACUGGAACUUUUUUCUGUCGCUUCUUCUUGCCCCAAUCUCAGGAACAUUUCAUUCUUGACUGGUCCUUGAUGCAAUAAAUUAAAUCGUGAGUGGAAUUUGUUAAUCUAGUAGCUAAUUAAUGCUCGAAGAAGAUGAAUGCUAAUUCAGGGACUUAGCCGAGAAUUAUAGCUGAAAGAGAAAUGUAGAAGAAGAAGAGAUUGAUCUUAUUUCAUGAAUGAAUAACAUUUUGCAAUCAUAGACAGAGGAAUGAAACUAAUGGCCUAACGAACACUCUGUGAAUAGUGAACAGUACUAACCCAUACCGUGAAGUCUCCAGGAUACAAAUAUUUGGCCUUCGAAAGCAAACUUUUUCUCUCUAAAUACAAGCUUUAUUUUCAUAGUUUCUGAUGUUUCAUCUUACAUUUUUUUAUUACUACCUGUUGUUUCUUUAGCCUCGAUUACUGUAUUAUCUUGUUGUUUUUUCUGCUUGUUGCUACUAUGCCUUCUUUUACAUCGAAAAUAACCUCUCUAACUUCAAGGUAGUGGUAAGGUCUGCGUACACAGUAUACUCCCAAGACAGCCAGGCCCCACUGUCUUCCAUCAGCAGCUCAAUUCUUGUUUCUGUCAAGUUGUAUGGUGUGUGUUAAGAGAGCAAAGCAAAGAUACUUUUUGUGACAUUCAAACAAAAUGCAUGUGUUAUUACAAGUGGUGGGACUUUGUGUUUGAAUCUUUCUAUGCUAUCUUAUUUAUCUUCCCUUCCAUCACUCGUAAACAUACAUUUCAAAGGGAUCAAAAUUGAAUCAAAUUAUUCUACAUGCCUAAAUUCCUUUAUUAUUGUGUUAUCAAAUAACUACAUCAACUCUAAAAUACUCAUAUAUAUGAGUAGUAAUUUUCAUUUGAAGAGUACUUUUAUGGAACUAUUUAGUUGUGUAAAUUUUAUUUCAAGAUAAGCAAAAGAAGUCGAUAUGUGAAUUUACUCCGAAAAUUUUAAGAAGUGACCUUCAUUUUAAAUUUUCUUUGGAACGAAAAAAUGGAUGGAUGGACCUAAGAUCGUGCUGAAAGACGGAGUCGAUGGACAACAUGUAAAUAUCAUAACUUUUACUAUUUUAAUUAACAUUUGAAUUGAGCUUGAUUUUCAUUGGAACAAACUCUAAUUCUUUUGAUAAAAAUUAAAUUUGCUAACAAAUACAAUGACGAAUGCUUUAACAUGUGUAUCCUAAGGAGGAGAGAAAGCAAAGUAAAAAAAUUAUUCUUGUUUUUUUGUUUUGUAAUAGAAAGUGAACCAAAACAAAGACCUUUUAUGUGACCUCUUCGUCUAUAAUAAGCACAUGUGAUUGUCAACUUCAAAUUGACAGAAAAUGACUACUUAACCAAUAGAGAUUUUUUUUUGCUUAAUUUGUGCUAUAUAUACGUCAUCAAAAUUGUUGAAUAGACACAAAAGCAAACAUUUCCUGAUUUCUUCACUGCCAACUUAAUUAGUUUUUGACCAUUUUAGUGAAGAAAUGGGUUGUGUAAAAGUUGUGUUUUUUAUGCUAUAUCCCUUUCUCUGUCAACUUGCUUUCUCCUCAUCCUCACCUCAUUUGUGCCCCCGAAGAUCAAGCUCUUGCUCUUCUACAAUUCAAGAACAUGUUUACCGUGAGACCUACUUCUUAUGGUUGUUACGACUAUACAGACCAAAGGAUGAAGUCAUAUCCAAGAACUCUUUUCUGGAACAAGAGCACCGAUUGCUGCUCAUGGGAUGGAGUUCAUUGUGACGAGACAACAUGACAAGUGAUUGAGCUUGAUCUCCGUUGCAGCCAACUUCAAGGCAAGUUUCGUUCCAAUAGUAGCCUCUUUCAACUCUUCAAUCACAAAAGGCUUGAUUUGUCUUAUAACGAUUUCUUUGAAUCGCUCAUUUCACCUAAAUUUGGUGAGUUCUCUAGAUUGACGCAUCUUGAUUUGUCGAGUUCACGUUUUACAGGUCUAAUCCCUUGUGAAAUCUCUCAUCUUUCUAAAUUAUACGUUCUUCGUAUAUGGACUGUAUUUCCAUAUGGCCUUAGACUUGGGCCUCACAAUUUUGAACUACUCCUUAAGAACUUGACUCAAUUAAGAGAUCUCGACCUUUACUCUGUGAACAUCUCUUCCACUAUUCCUCUGAAUUUCUCUUCUUAUUUAACAAAUUUACAGCUUCAACACACACAAUUUCGUGGGGUAUUUCCCGAAAGAGUUUUCCACCUUUCCGAUUUAGAAUUCCUUGAUUUAUCUCACAAUCCCCAGCUCACAGUUAGGUUUCCCACAACCAAAUGGAAUAGCAGUGCAUCACUCAUGUACUUAAAUCUCUAUGAUGUGAAUAUUAAUGGUAGGAUACCUGAAUCAUUUAGCCAUCUAACUUCACUUCAUAUGUUGAACAUGGGUAAUACUAAUCUGUCAGGGCCCCUUCCUAAACCUCUAUGGAAUCUCACCAACAUAGAGAGUUUGUUCCUUGGUAGUAACCAUCUUGAAGGACUAAUUUCCCUGUUAUCGAGAUUUGAAAAGCUCAAGGAAUUAUUACUUGGAAAUAACAAUUUUGAUGGCCGACUUGAGUUCUUAUCCUUUAACAGAAGCUGGAUGCAACUCGAUACCUUAGAUUUUUCGUCCAAUUACCUAACUGGUCCAAUUCCAUCCAACGUAAGUGGACUGCGAAACCUAAAACAGCUCUUCUUGUCAUCAAGCUACUUGAAUGGGACUAUACCUUCCUGGAUAUUCUCCCUUCCUUCACUGAUAGCGUUAGACUUAAGCAAUAACACUUUCAGUGGAACAGUUCAAGUCCAAAACAUUAAAUGUCGUUACUCUAAAUCAAAAUAAGCUGGAAGGUCCUAUUCCAAAGUCACUCCUAAACCAGCAGUUCCUACUAGGUCUUCUCUUUUCACACAAUAACAUCAGUGGACGUAUUGCUUCAGCUAUCUGCAAUCUGAAAACAUUGCAAGUAUUAGAUUUGAGAAGUAAAAUUUUGGAGGGAACAAUCCCACAAUGUUUGGGUGAGAUGAGUGCAGUUGAGAUUUUGGAUUUGAGCAACAAUAGUCUUAGUGGGACAAUUAAUACAACUUUUAGUAUUCGAAACCGACUCAACAUCAUUAAAUUGCAUAGUAAUAAGCUAGAGGGGAAAGUUUCACAAUCUUUGAUCAAUUGUAAAUAUUUAGAACUUCUUGAUUUAGGUAACAAUGAGUUGAAUGACACGUUUCCAAAAUGGUUGGGAGAGCUACCUCAUUUGCAGAUCUUAAAGUUGAGAUCAAAUAAGUUCUAUGGCCCUAUAAGGAUUGACAACUUGUUUGCUCAAAUUCGAGUCAUAGAUCUCUCAUCCAAUGGAUUUAGUGGAGAUUUACCAUUGAGUCUUUUUCAGAAUUUUCAAGCCAUGAAAACAAAUGGUGAGAACAAUGGAACCCGAGAGUAUGUAGCAGAUACAUUUUUUUUUUACUUACACUAAUUCUAUGAUAGUGACAACAAAGGGACUGGAUCAUGAACUUCCUGGAGUUUUGACUACACAAAUAAUUAUCAAUUUCUCAAUGAAUAGAUUUGAAGGUCAUAUUCCAAGCAUUAUUGGAGAUCUCGUUGGACUUCGUACCUUGAACUUAUCUCAUAAUGUCUUGGAAGGUCAUAUACCAGCAUCAUUGCAAAAUUUAACUGUACUCGAAUCGUUGGAUCUCUCAUCUAACAAUAUCAGUGGAGAAAUUCUGCUGCAGCUUGCAUCCCUCACAUUUCUUGCAGUCUUAAAUCUCUCUCACAAUUAUCUUGUUGGAUGCAUCCCCAAAGGAAAACAAUUUGAUACGUUUGAGAACAGUUCAUACCAAGGAAAUGAUGGAUUACGAGGAUUGCCACCCUCAAGAGAUUGUGGUCGUGAUGAUAGGGUACCACAAGAGACAAUUCCAGUUGAGCUAGAUCAAGAAGAAGAAGAAGAAGAUUCACCAAUGAUCAAUUGGCAGGCGGUUCUUAUGGGUUAUGGUUGUGGACUUGUUAUUGGACUGUCUGUAAUAUACGUAAUGUGGUCAACUCAAUAUCCAGCAUGGUUUUCGAGGAUGGAUUUAAAAUUGGAACACAGAAUUACUACGAGAAUGAAAAAGUACAAGAAAAGAUAUUAGUGAGUAGCGACCCCCAGGUAUUCAACUUGAUCUUUAUCUUUCUUAAGAUCAUUUUAUAUGUCAAUGUGUUUUCAACCUCCUUCAUCGUCAGAGCUCUUACCUUAAUUCUUUAUUUUUGAAAAUUGCAGGAUUCAAGUCUACUGAGUUGUGGGGGAUGCAGAUAAAAGUCUUUAUUUUUCAUAGUUUGUGGUGUCUCCAUAAAGUAUUUGUUAUACUAUGAAUAAAGACAUGACUUUUCUUCCUUUGAGACUCAACCAGAUUUUGUUUUCAAAUGUCUAUGGCAUAUAGAAAUAAACGGAAAUCGGACACAAACUUGAAUCUUUAAAUCAUUCAAUCAGAGUAUUUCACUCAACUCUUUCACAUAACACAAAUAUAGAACACUCGAAUUUAAGUUCAGAAACAUAAAAAUCUGUAGUUACAGAUUUCAGAAAUAUUCUUUUACAGACACAUGAUGGUCCUUUAUCAAAAGAUCGAAGGAACAUCAGGAAACCAUGGACCAAAGUUGCAGUCUGCUAUCUUUAACUUUUUUCAUUGAAGCAGUAGCAAUUAACAUAUAAUCUAGAUUCUAUUCAACCUCCUUUAUGAUAUUAGUAAGAUAAAUGAAACAGUGCUAAAUCAAGAAAUGAAGAAAGCUGUAAAGUAUUCCGCUGCUGCUUAUUAGAAUAGGCUCAGACUCUUUUGAGACAUUAGAUGGUGAACUGAUCAAAUGGACGAAAAAGGCCUAUUAUUGUGUUAAAAGGUGUAUUAGAAUAAUCUCAUAUCCAUUGGGAGGACUGUUUUGAGCCAUUAGAACCAGGUAAAAGAAUAAGUUCUGUCACAACAAAUUCUAGGAAAUAGACGCAUUAUUGAGCUUAUGCUCGAAAUCAAUUAAGGGUACGAAAAGUUCUGUCACAACAAAUUCUUAAAAGGGUAUAAUAUGCAUACACUUAUCCUAUCAAAACCUUCUUGCUUUUUUUUUUUUUUUACCUUUAAAGUUAAAGUCUAUACACAAAGUAACACUCUUAUCUUCUUUUUUUCUUAAUGCAAGACUUUGUUCAUACACCCAACCAAUUAUCAAACUACUUGAUUCAGAACAAUACAUGCCAUCCUGGAUAUCCUCCGUUCCAUCACUAAACUUUGAGGACUAUAACAAUGUGUUUCUUCCGUUCUACUCUCCGAGAAGACAAGAACAGCAGUCUCACUCUCACACUCACCUAUAAGUUCCAGGAAGAUACAAAAAAAUGUUUAAUCAGUGGUAUUGAAACUAUGAAGAACAUGCCAUGUAUGGACUUCUGCACUGUCUUCCAUCAGCAGGUCAAUUCUUGUGGAAAAUUGGCUCGAGCUGGUGCACUAUGUAGGCGCUGUAUUCAGAGUAGAUUUCCAGUCUAACCUUAAUGCAUUAGCAAAGUGACACUCCUAUUCUUAAGGUAUAAAGUUGUUAUGUUUCUUUCAAAGUUUACACACUCCUAUCCUAAACAAUUUUGUUGUGUGGUGGUCCUAUUCCUGGAAUCCAAUUAAGUUGGCAAAACAAAGAUAUUUUUUUGUCGAUAAUAACGUUGCACACAAAAUGCAUGUGUAAUGUGUUAUAUACAAGUGGUGGGACUUUGUGAUUUGACUUAAGAAUGUGAACUAUUGAUAGUUUCCGGCAUUCACUUGUGUGACACAUUGAAUGGGCAUAUGUGAUUCACAACUUCAAAUUGACUGAAAAUGACUACGUAACCAAUAGUAAAAUUCUCUUUGCUUAAUUUGUGUUAUAUAUACCUCAUCAAAAUUGUUGAAUAAACACACAAAGCAAAAUAUUUCUUGAUUUCUUCUCUACCAACUUAAUUUAGUUUUGAUCAUUUUUUAGUGCAGAAAUGGAUUGUGUAAAACUUGUAUUGUUUAUGCUAUAUACCUUUCUCGGUCAACUUAUUUUCUCCUUAUCCUUACCUCAUUUGUGCCCCGAAGAUCAAGCUCUUGCUCUUCUACAAUUCAAGAACAUGUUUCCCAUUAAUCCUAAUGCUUCUGAUUAUUGUUUUAAAUUUAAAGAGUUUCAUUCAUAUCCGAAAACUCUUACAUGGAAUAGUAGCACAGAUUGUUGCUCAUGGGAUGGAGUACAUUGUGACAAGAUGACGGGACAGGUGAUUGAGCUCAACCUCACUUGCAGCGGACUUCAAGGCAAGUUUCAUUCCAAAUUGUAGCCUCUUUCAACUUUCCAAUCUCAAAAGGAUUGAUUUGUCUUUUAAUAAUUUCACUGGAUCGCUCAUUUCACCUAAAUUUGGUGACUUCUCCAGUUUAACACAUCUUGAUCUAACAGUUACAAGUUUUUCGGGUCAAAUCCCUUCUGAAAUAUCUCAUCUUUCAAAAUUACACGAUCUUCGUAUCUCUAAUGUUUAUCCAUAUGAGCUUAGAUUCGGACCUCACAAUUUUGAAUUGCUCCUUAAGAACUUGACCCAAUUAAGAGAGCUCCACCUUCACGAUGUGAACAUCUCUUCCACCAUUCCUCUGAAUAUCUCUUCUUAUUUAACAAAUCUACGGCUUCCAUUAACAGAGUUACGUGGGGUAUUUCCCGAAAGAGUUCUCCACCUUUCCGAUUUAGAAUUCCUUGAUUUAUCAGAAAAUCCCCAGCUCACUGUUAGGUUUCCCACAACCAAAUGGAAUAGCAGUGCAUCACUCAUGUACUUAAAUCUCUAUGAUGUGAAUAUUAAUGGUAGGAUACCUGAAUCAUUUAGCCAUCUAACUGCACUUCAUGACUUGAACAUGGGUUAUUCUACUCUGUCAGGGCCUAUUCCUAAACCUCUAUGGAAUCUCACCAACAUAGAGAGUUUGUUCCUUAGUGAUAACUAUCUUGAAGGACCGAUUUCCCAGUUCUCGAGAUUUGGAAAGCUUAGGGUGUUAUACCUUGGAUAUAACAACUUCGAUGGCUGACUUGAGUUCUUAUCCUUUAACAGAAACUGGACGCAACUUGAAGUAUUAGAGUUUUCAUUCAAUAACCUAACUGGUCCAAUUCCAACUAAUGUAAGAGGACUACAAAACCUACAAUGGCUCAAAUUGUCAUCAAACCACUUGAAUGGGACUAUACCUUCCUGGAUAUUCUCCCUUCCUUCACAGACAGUGUUAAACUUGAGAAAUAACCCUUUCAGUGGAAAAAUUCAGGAGUUCAAGUCCAACACAUUGUUGGAAGUUGAUCUAAGACAAAAUCAACUAGAAGGUCCUUUACCAAAUUCACUCCUAAAACAGCCAAACCUAAAAUUUCUUCUCCUUUCACACAAUAAUAUUAGUGGACAGAUUGCUUCAACUAUCUGCAAUCUGAAAACACUAACAGCUUUGGACUUAGGAAGUAACAAUUUGGAGGGAACAAUCCCACAAUGUUUGGUUGAGAUGAAUGAAUACCUUUGGAAUUUGGAUUUGAGCAACAACAGUCUUAGUGGGACUAUCAAUACAAAUUUUAGUGUUGGAAACGAUCUCACGAUCAUUAGCUUGCAUGGGAAUAAGCUAACGGGGAAAGUCCCACGAUCUUUGAUCAAUUGCAAGUACUUGACACUUCUUGAUCUAGGUAACAAUCAGUUGAAUGACACAUUUCCAAACUGGUUGGGACACCUACCUGAUUUGAAGAUUUUAAGCUUGAGAUCAAAUAAGUUUCAUGGUCCCAUUAAAUCUUCAGGGAAUACAAACUUGUUUGCGCGGCUUCAAAUUCUGGAUCUAUCAUCCAAUGGAUUUAGUGGUAAUUUACCAAUAAGUCUUUUUGGGAAUUUGCAAGCCAUGAAGAAAUUGAUGAGCGUACAAGAACCCCAGAGUAUGUUUCUGAUCAAUAUGCUGGUUAUUAUGAUUAUUUGAUGACAAUUACAACAAAGGGGCAAGAGUAUGAUUGUGUUCAAAUUUUGGAUUCUAACAUGAUUAUCGAUCUCUCAAAGAACCGAUUUGAAGGUCAUAUUCCAAGCAUUAUUGGAGAUCUCGUUGAACUUCGUACCUUGAACUUAUCUCAUAAUGUCUUGGAAGGUCAUAUACCAGCAUCAUUGCAAAAUUUAUCUGUACUCGAAUCAUUGGAUCUCUCAUCUAACAAAAUCAGCGGAGGAAUUCCACCACAACUUGCAUCCCUCACGUUUCUUGCAGUCUUAAAUCUCUCUCACAAUCAUCUUGUUGGAUGCAUCCCCAAAGGAAAACAAUUUGAUACGUUUGAGAAUAGCUCAUACCAAGGGAAUGAUGGGUUAUGUGGACUGCCAUUCUCAAAACAUUGUGGUGGUGAUGGUAGGGUACCACAAGCGACAAUUCCAGCUGAGCAAGAUCAAGAAGAAGAAGAAGAUUCACCAAUGAUCAGUUGGCAGGCGGUUCUCAUGGGUUACGGUUGUGGUCUAGUUAUUGGACUGUCUAUAAUAUACAUAAUGUUGUCAACUCAAUAUCCAACAUGGUUUUCGAGGAUGGUAUUGAAAUUGGAACACAGAAUGAUUACGAGAAUGAAAAGGCACAAGAAAAGAUAUUAGUGAGUAGCGACCUCCAGGUAUAUAACUUGAUCUAUUUUAUUUUAUUUCUAUUUUUUUUUACCCUCCGUAGGAGCUCCCACCCCUUUUGCUCCCUUGGUGACUCGAACUCGCAACCUUCGGGUUGGAAGUGAGAGGUGCUUACCAUCCGAGCAACUCCCUCUCGUCAUUCAACUUGAUCAUUAUCCUUCAGAAGAUUAUUUUUUAUAUAUCGAUGUAAUUUCUACCUACUUCAUCCUUUAAGCUCUUAACUUUAAUUCUUCAUUUUUGAAAAUUGCAGGAUUCAAGUCUACUGAAUUGCUGGGAUGCAAUAAGACGAGUUUUUGUUUACCAAUAGUCUGUUAUAUAGUAUGUAGUAAUUUAUUCAGCCUGAUUAUUAGUUAGCUACUUCAUUUCGACUGCAAUGUUCAGUUCAUAAAUUUAUGAAGUUAUCUUAUCUUUUUGUUUUAAUUACAUCAAUAAUUUCAAUAGCAAGCUAAACGUGUACACCUUUUAAGACUCUCCUAAAAAUUGGCUUAAAUAUCCUUAUGGUGUUAAAGAUUGCUCUAAAGUCACCACUCCUUGUUAGUCGAAAAUCACACUUGUCUAAUUUCAAAUGUUUAUAUGUAAAAAGAAUCGAAGAUAUGCCUUUUUUUCUCAACUUUGAUCUGUAGAGGUAUUGAUCUUGUCGCCUCUGCUCUCUGUGCGUUCCUAUUUCUUAAUAAAUCUCUGUGACAUUAGAUACAGGCCUUGUACACCAUACCUUGUAGGAAGACAAUAACGGAUUAGUUCAAGGAGUACUAAAAGUUCUGUUAAAGAAAAUGCUUAAAAACUACAUAUGACAUCUUGUAUUAUAAAGAGAAUGCAAGCUUGAGUCUACUUCAAAUGAUCAUAAUAUAUCGGAUACUCAUUAAAUGAGCAUUCUCAAUAACAGAGCUUGGAUCAAAUCUAUAUUAUGUGCACAGAAUUAUGAAGCAUGAAUACUAGUUCACCUCAACUUUUUCCUUUUCUUUUUGCUAAGAAAAGGCAUUUUGUUGGGUUAUACACAUUUACAAGGGUGAAAAAGAUGCCACAAUUUACACCAUCCUGUAUCAAACAGUCCAGAAUCGAGACGAAGAUAACUAGCUUUAUAAAAAAUUAUUGAUAAAAAUUAUUGAUCUAGGAAAAAGAUGCAUUCUUGAGCUUAUGCUCGAAACUAAUUAAGGGAUAAUUCUCAAAGGAGUACGAAAAGUUCUGUUAUAGGAAGUUUCGUUCAUAACGUUCAAGAAUUUGAAUUACUCUGUGGGAGUAUCAAUUUGGAGGGAACAAUCCCACAAUGCCUGGGUGAGAUGAAUGAAUACCUUUGGAAUUUGGAUUUGAGCAACAACAGUCUUAGUGGGACAAUCAAUAUAAAUUUUAGUAUUGGAAACUCUUUCAGGGUCAUUAGCUUGCACGGGAAUAAGCUAACAGGGAAAGUCCCACCAUCUUUGAUCAAUUGCAAGUAUUUGACACUUCUUGAUCUAGGUAACAAUAAGUUGAAUGACACAUUUCCAAACUGGUUGGGAAACCUACCUGAUUUGCAGAUUUUAAGCUUGAGAUCAAAUAAGUUUCACGGUCCCAUUAAAUCUUCAGGGAAUACAAACUUGUUUGCGCAGCUUCAAAUUCUGGAUCUAUCAUCCAAUGGAUUUAGUGGUAAUUUACCAAUAAGUCUUUCUGGGAAUUUGCAAGCCAUGAAGAAAAUUGACGAGAGUACAAGAACCCCAGAGUAUGUUUCUGAUCAAUUUGCUGGUUAUUAUGAUUAUUUGAUGACAAUUACAACAAAGGGACAAGAUUAUGAUUGUGUUCAAAUUUUGGAUCCUAACAUGAUUAUCGAUCUCUCAAAGAACAGAUUUGAAGGUCUUAUUCCAAGCAUUAUUGGAGAUCUUGUUGGACUUUGUACCUUGAACUUAUCUCAUAAUGUCUUGGAAGGUCAUAUACCAGCUUCAUUGCAAAAUUUAUCAGUACUCGAAUCAUUGGAUCUCUCAUCUAACAAAAUCAGCGGAGAAAUUCCACAACAGCUUGCAUCCCUCACAUUCCUUGCAGUUUUAAAUCUCUCUCACAAUCAUCUUGUUGGAUGCAUCCCCAAAGGAAACCAAUUUGAUACGUUUGAGAACAGUUCGUACCAAGGGAAUGAUGGAUUAUGAGGAUUGCCACCCUCAAGAGACUGUGGCCGUGAUGAUAGGGUACCACAAGAGACAAUUCUAGUUGAGCUAGAUCAAGAAGAAGUAGAUGAUUCACCAAUGAUCAGUUGGCAGAAGGUUCUCAUGGGUUACGGUUGUGGUCUAGUUAUUGGAUUGUCUGUAAUAUACAUAAUGUGGUCAACUCAAUAUCCAGCAUGGUUUUCGAGGAUGGAUUUAAAAUUGGAACACAAAAUUACUACGAGAAUGAAAAGGCACAAAAAAAAGAUAUUAGUGUGUAGCGACCUUCAGGUAUUCAACUUGAUCUUUAUCUUUCUUAAGAUUAUUUUUUAUAUAUCAAUGUAUUUUCGACCUCCUUCAUCCUCAAAGCUCUUACCUUUAAUUCUUCAUUUUUGAAAAUUGCAGGAUUCAUGUCUACAAAGUUUCUGAAGAUUAAGAUAAAAAGCCUCUAUCUUUCAUUUGUCUAUGGCAUGUAGAAAUAAAUUCGACUGAUAAAUAGAAGUCGGACAUAAAGUUGAAUCUUUGGAUCAAUCAGAUGAUAUGUGUCAUCACUAAAAACGUAGUAUUUCACUCAACUCUUUCACAUAACAUCAUAACACAAACAUAGAACACUCGAAUUUAAGUUCAAAAACAUAAAAAUCUGAAGUUACCGAGUUCGGAAUAUUUUUUUUCAGAUUCAUGAUGGUCCUUCAUCAAAAGAUCAAAGAAACAUUACCAGGGACCAAAGUUACAGUUUUCUAUCUUUAACUCUUUUCAUUGAAGCAGCAGCAAAAAGAUUUGCAUUAUUCUCUACUCCCUGAGCCUCACAUAGACAACAUCACGUGUUUUCAACUGGAAUCUGCAUUCUUUGAAGAGUUGGAGAAAGAGCCUUCAACUCUUCCCAUCUAAGUCUCUGAUGACAGAGUUACCCGAUAUCUCUAUUGGUGGAAGGUAGACGGUACCGGUUGAAUUAAUCGAAUAGACUCAAGUUGACCUGAGCAUCACUGUUAUACAACAACAAACUAUGCCUCAGCCCCAAACAAAAACUUGCAUAGAGACCUGCAAUAAUGUUCGAAGCCCAAAAUAAGAUAGACAUAAACACACAAUUGAGUGAUAUAAUUUCUAGUGAUCGAAAUCCAUAUGGAUUUCAAACAUCAUUUAGGAAGAAAUCAAGCAGAAGCGCUUGACUAUAGGUGAGGUUUAUCGUGAUCAACUAUUGUUCAGAUUCAUUAAUUAGCAAACUGCUCCACAAUUUCAAAGUUUCGGGGCAAAGAAAAAGAUUCAUAAAAACAAAAGGGAAUACCUCGCCAAACAGACUUAGGAACCAGGUUUGUCAAGAUAUCACUGCAGCUUUCUUUACGCUGUGCUUUAAUCUCUGUGCAAAAUCCAUAUGCAGGAUCCUUUUAACUGAUUUUGAUGAGUCGAGAUUUCACAAAAAUGUAUCUGUCAAACUAUGACUUAGCUGAUGCGGCAGUUAUCAGCUCCACUAAAUAUACUUGUGGGCUGAAACCUUGUGUAUUCCAGCAUCUAACAUUGCUUUUCUCAAGGCAGCAGCAUAAUCCCACCUCUCUGCGCCAGCACAAAUGAUUCGGUUGCGACUCAAGCAGUAGUUGUGAUACUUCAUAUCCCAAUUCAAUAGCUCCAUGAAGUCUACAAGCACCCAUCAGAGCCCCCAAGACAGUAAAGGCAUCAGCUUCAAACAAGAUAAUGUUCCAUCUUAGCUACAAGUCAAAAUUCAUGAGACAUCGCUUCAAACAAUUUAAAACUGAAAUCGACAAGCUUGGCAUACACACAAUUAAGCUGAUAGAACAGACACAAAAGUAAUCUCAUUUGGUUGCAGCCCCUUUGCCCUCAUCUUCUCAUACAUCGUUAAUGCCUACUUCUCUCUUCUAAGAAAAGGGUUGUAGAUUAUUUGUGAUACAUUAAUUUCUAUUCGACCUCCUUUAUGAUGCAAAUAACAUUAAUGAAAGGCAUAAAACAGUACUAAAUUAAGACAGGGAGAUUUGAUAUAUAGUUUAGAGAAUAUUUGGGCCUCUUGAAGUGUAACAGCCCAAAGCACAAAACAUUGAAGACCCAAACCAGCAAAACAAAAGAAAAUCAGAAUCAGACAUAAAGUUGAAUCUUUAGAUCAUUCAAUCAGACGAUAUGUGCCAUCACUAAAAACAUUGUAUUUCACUCAACUCUUACACAUAACACAAACAUACAACACUCGACUUUAAGUUCAGGAACAUAAAAAUCUGUAGUUACAGAGUUUGAAGAUAUUUUUCUACCGACUCAUGAUGGUCCUUCAUCAAAAAAUGGAAGAAACAUCAGGAAAACACAGAAAAUCUAGUAUCCAACACGGCUUCAGAAGGAGAAUCUUCUGUUACUAUCAUCAAUGAAUUCAGUAUUACAAACUUCAGGCCUUAAGAACUGAAAUACAGGUGCUCGGAAAAUUGAUUUAGGCUGUAUAUGGAUGAUAUACAGCGGAAAGGGACGACAUAGGGUUCAUAUACAGUAGUAAUAUACGCUUGGUAUAUAUUCAGGUUUUCAAGGGUAAAAAUAGGGCCAAUGCCCAAACACAACCUGCAGCAGGCCCAAGAAGGGCCCAAAUUCAAUUUCUCCUUCACUCUUAACCUAUUUAACUGUGAUUAUUUACUGUUAGCUUUUUAUUAACUCUAACUUUAAAUAACUUAAUUAAAUACCCAAAAGAUGAACUAUAUUAUUUCUGUUAGUUUAUUUUAAUAUAAUUCAUUUUUUAUCAACUUUCAUACUUUUAUUGAAUAUAUUUAGUCAAAACUUUUUAUUUAUUCUUCAAUUAAUUUAAAAUCGUUUUCAUACUUUUAGUUAAUCAAAUCGGUUUAAAUUAUUAUUUUAAAAUGAUUCAAAUAAAUUUUAAUUAAUCUAGUUUUGUUAAAAUACUAAUCACUUGUAAUUAAAUUCAAAUAUUUUAAUUAAGGUCCCCCUUUCUAAAAAAAAUCAAAAAUUGUUCUUUGUUUAACUAUUUUUUUCAAGUUAAUAUUAAAAGUCAUUUUCAUAAUCACUUCCCAAAAAAUAGUCAAAAAAAUAUUUUAACCAAGUUGUAGGAUAACCGCGUGUUAGCGGAUGCUUCAAAUGCCUUAAAAACCUUCUUGAAGCGUAAAUAAGAACCUCUUACCCAUUUUCUCUAAAUUUUUAAAGACUUAAUCUGUUAGAGUCUUUUUAAAUUAUAAGUUUUUUUGUAAUUUCUCUAAAAAAUAAAGUAGCGACUCUUUUCUAAGUAUUUUUCUCAAAUUGUCUUAUACUUAAAGCAUUUCAAAAGUAAUUUUUCUAAAGAUAGUCAAAUUACAAUAUAUAUAACAUUUAGAUCAUUCGAUCAGAUGAUAUUUGUCAUCACUAAAAACAUUGUAUUCACUCAACUCGUUCACAUGACAUCAUAAUAAAAACAUAGAGCACUCGACUUUAUGUUCAGAAACAUAAAUUUGUAGUUACAGAGUUCGAAAAUAUUUUUUACAGACUCAUCGAAAGAUCAAAGAAACAUCAGGAAACCAUGGACCAAAGUUGAAGUCUUCUAUCUUUAACUAUUUUCAUUGUAGCUUAUAUCAUAAAAAAAUUAACUCAAAGGAGAUUUGGACUCAACUUCAACUUCCUGUGUAUAAUAUUUCAAGAAUAGUAAAACAAGUUGAUAUCUAAAUUUACUUUGAAAUGGCCUUCAUACUUGGAACUAUUAAUUACUGCAGAACUUUAAUCACUCAUUAAUGUAUAAAACAUGUACCCUAUUGAGUUUUCUUAUUGGGAGAAACGGUAGUCUAUCAAUUAGUAAUGACUUUCCAAUUUUUUGGUAGUUUAUCAAUAAAUUAGUAAUGACUUUCCUACAUAAAUUAAAUGAAUACAUGGAUUCUUUAUUACCACAAAUUUUUUAAAAUAACAGUUUUUUUUUUUAAAGUAAGGAAAAAAUGGUCAAUUAAUUUUGUACAGGUAUUUCGUAAUCCAACUUGGCACUUUGAAGCUUCACAAUUUUAAUUGAGCUUUAUAUUUUCAUUGGAACGAACUUUAAUUCUUUAACAUGUGUAUCUUGAGGAGAAGAGAAAGGGAAAGUUCUGAGUGGGGUUAAGGGAACCAAAACAAAUACCUUUUAUGUGACAUUUUUGUCUAUAUAUAAUAAUGUAUCAGACAAAAUGCAUUUGUUAUAUACAAGCGGUGGGACUUUGUUACGUUGUUGCUUUCAUUUGAACAUAUUGAAUGUGCAUAUGUGAUUGUCAACUUCAAAUUGACUGAAAAUGCUUAAUUUAUGCUAAUCUCUAUCUCAUCAAAAUUAUUGAAUACACACACAGAGCAAAUAUCUUCUCUACCAACUUAAUUAGUUUUGAUCAUUUUUAGUGCGGAAAUGGGUUAUGUAAAACUUGUAUUUUUUAUGUUAUAUACCUUUCUCUGUCAACUUGGUAUCUCCUCAUCCUUACCUCAUUUAUGCCCCGAAGAUCAAGCUCUUGCUCUUCUACAAUUUAAGCACAUGUUUACCAUUAAUCCUAAUGCUUCUAAUUUUUGUCGUGAAAUAAUAACAGAUCAAGAGAUUCAGUCAUAUCCAAAAACCCUUUUAUGGAACAAGAGCACAGAUUGUUGCUCAUGGGACGGAGUUCAUUGUGACGAGAUGACGGGACAAGUAAUUGAGCUUGAUCUCAGUUACAGCACACUUCAAGGCAAGUUUCAUUCCAAUAGUAGCCUCUUUCAAUUAUCCAAUCUCAAAAGGCUUGAUUUGUCAUGUAAUAAUUUCACCGGAUCGCUCAUUUCACCUAAAUUUGGUGAGUUCUCUAGCUUGACGCAUCUUGAUUUGUCAGGUACAGGUUUUACAGGUCUAAUGCCAACAGAAAUCUCUCACCUUUCUAAAUUACACGUUCUUCGAUUCAGUGGUCUAUAUGACCUUAGUCUUGGGCGUCACAAUUUUGAACUGCUCCUUAAAAACUUGACCCAAUUAAGAGAGCUCAACCUUGACUAUGUAAACAUCUCUUCCACAAUUCCUCAGAAUUUCUCUUCUUAUUUAAAAAAUCUACGGCUUCCAUACACAGAUUUAUGUGGGGUAUUGCCCAAAAGAGUUUUCCACCUUUCCGAUUUAGAAUUCCUUGAUUUAUCAUCCAAUUCUCAGCUCACUGUUAGGCUUCCCACAACCAAAUGGAAUAGCACUGCAUCACUCAUGUACUUACGUCUCUAUGACGUGAAUAUUACUGAUAGGAUACCUGAAUCAUUUAGCCAUCUAACUUCAUUGCUUGUAUUGGACAUGAGUGAUUGUAAUCUGUCAGGGUCUAUUACUAAACCUCUAUGGAAUCUCACCAACAUAGAGUUGUUGGACCUUGGUAAUAACCAUCUUAAAGGAUCAAUUUCCCGGUUAUCGAGAUUUGGAAAGCUCAAGGACUUAUCACUUAGAAAUAACAACUUUGAUGGCCAACUUGAGUUCUUAUCCUGUAACAGAAGUUGGACCCAACUUAAAUGGCUAGAUUUUACAUCCAAUUUCCUAACUGGUCCAAUUCCAUCCAACGUAAGUGGACUACAAAAUCUACAAUCACUCUACUUGUCAUCAAACAACUUGAAUGGGACUAUACCUUCCUGGAUAUUCUCCCUUCCUUCACUGUCAGAGUUAGAGUUGAACAAUAACACUUUCAGUGGAAAAAUUCAGGAGUUCAAGUCCAAAACAUUGUCUCAAGUUGAUCUAAAACAAAAUCAACUAGAAGGUCCUUUACCAAAUUCACUCCUAAACCAGCCACUCCUAACAUAUCUUCUCCUUUCACACAAUAAUAUCAGUGGACAGAUUGCUUCAACUAUCUGCAAUCUGAAAGAAUUGACUGUGCUAAAUUUGAGAAAUAAUAAUUUGGAGGGAACAAUCCCACAAUGCCUGGGUGAGAUGAAUGAAUACCUUUGGAAUUUGGAUUUGAGCAACAACAGUCUUAGUGGGACAAUCAAUAUAAAUUUUAGUAUUGGAAACUCUUUCAGGGUCAUUAGCUUGCACGGGAAUAAGCUAACAGGGAAAGUCCCACCAUCUUUGAUCAAUUGCAAGUAUUUGACACUUCUUGAUAUAGGUAACAAUCAGUUGAAUGACACAUUUCCAAACUGUUGGAAACCUACCUGAUUUGCAGAUUUUAAGCUUGAGAUCAAAUAAGUUUCACGGCCCCAUUAAAUCUUCAGGGAAUACAAACUUGUUUGCGCAGCUUCAAAUUCUGGAUCUAUCAUCCAAUGGAUUUAGUGGUAAUUUACCAAUUAGUCUUUUUGGGAAUUUGCAAGCCAUGAAGAAAAUUGACGAGAGUACAAGAACCCCAGAGUAUGUUUCUGAUCAAUUUGCUGGUUAUUAUGAAUAUUUGACCACAAUUACAACAAAGGGACAGGAUUAUGAUUCUGUUCGAAUUUUGGAUUCUAACAUGAUUAUCAAUCUCUCAAAGAACAGAUUUGAAGGUCAUAUUCCUAACAUUAUUGGAGAUCUCGUUGGACUUCGUACCUUGAACUUAUCUCAUAAUGUCUUGGAAGGUCAUAUACCAGCAUCAUUGCAAAAUUUAUCUGUACUCGAAUCAUUGGAUUUCUCAUCUAACAAAAUCAGCGGAGGAAUUCCACCACAACUUGCAUCCCUCACAUUUCUUGCAGUCUUAAAUCUCUCUCACAAUCAUCUUGUUGGAUGCAUCCCCAAAGGAAAACAAUUUGAUACGUUUGAGAACACUUCCUACCAAGGGAAUGAUGGGUUACGUGGAUUGCCACUCUCAAAACACUGUGGCGGUGAUGAUAGGGUACCACAAGCAAUAACUCCAUCAGAGCUAGAUCAAGAAGAAGAAGAAGAUUCACCAAUGAUCAGUUGGCAAGCGGUUCUCAUGGGUUACGGUUGUGGACUUGUUAUUGGACUGUCCGUAAUAUACAUAAUGUUGUCAACUCAAUAUCCAACAUGGUUUUCGAGGUUGGUUGUGCAAUUGGAACACAGAAUUACUACGAGAAUGAAAAGGCACGAGAAAAGAUAUUAGUGAGUAGCUACCUUCAAGUAUUCAACUUGAUCUUUAUCUUUCUUGAAGUCAUUUUUUAUAUAUCAAUGUAUUUUCGACCUCCUUCAUCCUCAAAGCUCUUACAUUUAAUUCUUCAUUUUUGAAAAUUGCAGGAUAAAGUUUCUGAAGAUGCAGAUAAAAAGCCUUUAUCUUUCAUAGUUUGUGAUGUUUCCAUAAAGUAUUUGUUAUCCUAUGAAUAAAAACAUGACUUUCCCUUCCUUUGAGACUACAUACCAUAAAGUCUAUGGCAUGUAGAUAUAAAUUCGACUGAUAAACAGAAACCGGACAUAAACUUAAAUCUUUAGAUCAUUUAAUCAGAUGAUAAUACGUGUCAUCACUAAAAACAUAGUAUUUCACUCAACUCUUUCACAUGACAUCAUAACACAAACAUAGAACACUCUACUUUAAGUUCGGAAACAUAAAAAUCUGAAGUUACAGAGUUUGAAAAUAUAUUUUUUCCGAUUCAUGAUGGUCCUUCAUCAAAGGAUCAAAGAAACAUUAGGAAAAAUAUUUGCAUUAUUCUCUACUGCCUGAGCCUCACAUAGACAACAUCAUGUGUUUUCAACUCGAAUCUACAUUCUUUGAAGAGCUGAAGAAAGAACCUUCAACUCUUCCCAUCUAAAUCUUGGAUGAUAGAGUUACCCGAUAUCUCUAUUGGUGGAAGGUAGACGGUACCAGUUGAAUUAAUUGAAUAGAACACAAGUUGACCCAAGCAUCACUGUUAUACAAUAACAAACUACGCCUCAGCCCCAAAAAAUAACUUGCAUAGAGACCUGCAAUAAUGUUCAAACCCCAAAAUAAGAUAGACAUAAACAUAUAACUGAGUGAUAGAAUUUCUAGUGAUCGAAAUCCAUAAGGAAUUCAAACUUCAUUUAGGAAGAAAUCAAGCAGAAGCGCUUGCCUAUAGGUGAGCUUUAUUGUGAUCAACUAUUGUUCAGAUUCAUUAAUUAGCAAACCGCUGCAUAAUUUUGAAGUUUCGGGGCAAACAAACUUUGGAACCAGAUCUGUCAAGCUAUGACUUAGUUGAUUUUGAUGAGUCGAGAUUCCAUCACCAAGAUGCGGCAGUUAUCAGCUCCACUAAAUAAAACUGUGGGCUGGAACCUUGUGUGUAUUCCAGCAUCUAACAUUGCUUUUCUCAAGGCAUCAGCAUGAUCCCACCUCUCUGCACCAGCAUAAAUGCUUGAGAGUUGCAUAUAACACCCUGAAUGCUUGAGAGUUAUGCUACUUCAAUAGCUCCAUGAAGUCUACAAGCACCCAUCAGAUCCCCCAAGACAGUAGCAUCAGCUUCAAAAGGCAUCUUCUUUAGUCUUCCUGCAGUUUCCCAGCUCUCCCUAAGAGAUCAACCACACAACCAUAAGUUGAAUCUUUAGAUCAUUCAAUCAGGUGAUAUGUGCCAUCACUAAAAACAUUGUGUUUCACUCAACUCUUUCACAUAACACAAACAUACAACACUCGACUUUAAGUUCAGGAACAUAAAAAUCUGUAGUUACAGAGUUCGAAGAUAUCAUUAAUGCGUGCUUCUCCCUUCCAUUCAAGCUGGGGAAGAAAUCAUAACACGACCAUCGCAUCAAUUACCUUUGAAGCAUAUAUCAAACAACCCAUAAAAUGAGAUCAAUGCGGUCGUCAGAAGUUGAAGCAUAUGUUCUGUAACAGCCCAAAGCACAAAACAAAAGAAAAUCAGAAUAAGAAUCAGAAAUAAAGUUGAAUCUGAAUCGUUAGAUCAUUCAAUCAGACGAUAUGUGCCAUCACUAAAACCAUUGUAUUUCACUCAACACGUUCACAUAACACAAACAUAGAACACUCGACUUUAAGUUCAGGAACAUAAAAAUCUGUAGUUACAGAGUUUGAAGAUAUUUUUCUACAGACUCAUGAUUGUCUAUAAUAAGGUAUCACACAAAAUGCAUGUAUUUUUACAAAGUGAUUGUGUUAUCAAAUAACUACAUGAACUCUAAAUACUCAUACAUAAGUAGUGAUUAUCAUUUAAAGAGCACUUUCAUGGAACUUUUUAAUUGUGCAAAUUUUAUUUCAGGAGAAGUUAAAAAAAGAAAAGGCGAAUUUGUGAAUUUACUCCGAAAAUUUUAAAAAGUGACCUUCAUUUUUUAAUUUUCUUUUGUACAAAAAUGGACUAAUGGACCUGAGAUCAUGCUGAAAGUAUAACUUUACAUUUUAAUAAACAUUUGACAGAAAGCAAAGUAGAAACUUUCUUCUCUUCUUUUGUUUUGUAAUAGAAAGGCAAAGUUAUGGGUGGGAGUGGGGGCAGGGUUGUUAAAGGAGUAAGAAAAGUUCUGUCACAGCAACCAACACUAUAUUAUCCUAACCAGUCAAUAUCUUUUUAGAAUUUUGACUUGAAAUGUCUUUUCUCAAAGUAUAUACGUCAAUUAUUACUUUAUUCUUAAUCAAACUUUUUGAAUUUCAGCAGAACUGAUUAUAUCAAUGCAAUAAUUGAAGGUGAGGGGUUCCAAACAAGUACUGCUGCAACAUAAGGUUGAUGUAAUUUAUUUUGAACUCACCAAAGUUGAGGAAAAUAAGGUUUCUUGAAGGAGUAGCAUUGAGAAUGUGAAACUUUGUUCAUACACCCAACCGACAUAACAACUUUCUGAUUUAUUCAAUCAUGGUUAUCAAAUGCAGCUCAUACCUAUAGAUUAUCUCCAAAAUAGCUUUCUACUUCAUCACAUCCAGUUCCAAAAUUGUGAAAAUCUGAAUCUGGAAAAGCAGGUUACUGAUCUAUUAUUUUGUUCACUUACAGUAUUAGCCAAUCGUGGAUUUAUCAAAAUAGUACUUUUACUUGUCCCAAUUUUUAAUAAAAAGAAGAAGAGAAAGGUGUGUGUAAAGAGAAUCAAAACAAAGAACUUUUUUGUGAACUAUUGAAUGAAAAUGACCUGGAAUUGAUUACUCCAAAGCAACAACUAAACUUCUUUGCUUAGUUUGUGCUAUAUAUAUCUCAUCAAACUUACUAUAGACACAGAGCAAGCAUUUCUUGAUUUCUUCUCUAUCAACUUAAUUAGUUUUGAUCAUUUUAGUGCAGAAAUGGGUUGUGUAAAACUUGUAUUUUUUAUGCUAUAUACCUUUCUAUGUCAACUUGCUUUCUCCUCAUCCUUACCUCAUUUGUGCCCCAAAGAUCAAGCUCUUUCUCUUCUACAAUUCAAGCACAUAUUUACCAUUAAUCCUAAUGCUUCUGAAUAUUGUUACGACAUAACAGACCAAGAGAUUCAGUCAUAUCCACGAACUCUUUUAUGGAACAAGAGCACAGAUUGUUGCUCAUGGGAUGGAGUUCAUUGUGACGAGACGACAGGACAAGUGAUUGAGCUUGAUCUCCGUUGCAGCCAACUUCAAGGCAAGUUUCAUUACAACAGUAGCCUCUUUCAACUCUUCAAUCUCAAAAGGCUUGAUUUGUCUUGCAAUAAUUUCUCCGGAUCGCUCAUUUCACCUAAAUUUGGUGAGUUCUCUAACUUGAGGCAUCUUGAUUUGUCGCGUUCAAAUUUUACAGGUCUAAUCCCAGUUGAAAUCUCGCACCUUUCUAAACUACACGUUCUUCGUAUAGGUGAUCAAUAUGAGCUUAGUCUUGGACCUCACAAUUUUGAACUGCUCCUUAAGAACUUGACCCAAUUAAGAGAGCUCAAUCUUCACUAUGUGGACAUCUCUUCCACUAUUCCUUCAAAUUUCUCUUCUCAUUUAACAACUCUACAACUUGCAGACACACAGAUACGUGGGAUACUUCCCGAAAGAGUUUUCCACCUUUCCAACUUAGAAUCCCUCGAUUUAUCAGAAAAUCCCCAGCUCACUAUUAGGUUUCCCACUACCAAAUGGAAUAGCAGUGCAUCACUCAUGGAGUUACAUCUCAGUCAUGUGAAUUUUACUGGUAGGAUACCUGAAUCUUUUAGCCAUCUAACUUCACUGCAUAAGUUGUACCUUGAUAAUAACCAUCUUGAAUGACCGAUUUCUCAGUUCUUGAGAUUUGAAAAGCUCAGGUACUUAUCACUUAGAAAUAACAACUUUGAUGGCCAACUUGAGUGUUUAUCCUUUAACAGAAGCUGGACGCAAUUUGUAAUGUUAGAUUUUCGGUCCAAUUCCCUAACUGGUCCAAUUCCAUCCAACGUAAGUGGACAGCAAAACCUAAAAUGGCUUAUCUUGUCAUCAAACCACUUGAAUGGGACUAUACCUUUCUGGAUAUUCUCCCUUCCUUCACUGAUAAUGUUAAACUUGAGCAAUAACAUUUUCAGUGGAAAAAUUCAGGAGUUCAAUUCCAAAACAUUAGCUGUCGUUAUUCUGAGAAAAAAUCAGCUGGAAGGUCCUAUUGCUUCAGCUAUCUGUAAUCUGAAAACAUUGUUUCUACUAGAUUUGAGAAGCAAUAAUUUGGAGGGAACAAUCCCACAAUGUUUGGGUGAGAUGAGUGCAGUUGAGAUUUUGGAUUUAAGCAACAAUAGUCUUAGUGGGACAAUCAAUACAACUUUUAGUAUUGGAAACUAUCUCAGAGUCAUUAGCUUGCAUGAGAAUAAGCUAGAGGGGAAAGUCCCACGAUCUUUGAUCAAUUGUAAAAAUUUGGAACUUGUUAAUUUAGGUAACAAUCAGUUGAAUGAUACAUUUCCAAGAUGGAUGGGAAUCCUACCGAGUUUGAUGAUUUUAAAUUUGAGAUCAAAUAAGUUGCACGGGCCCAUUAAAACUUCAAGGACUGGAAACUUGUUUGCGCAGCUUCAAAUUAUGGAUCUAUCAUCCAAUGGAUUUAGUGGCAAUUUACCUGAAAGUCUUUUUGUGAAUUUGCAAGCCAUGAAGAAAAUUGAUGAGAACAUGAUAGGGAAAGAGGUUUUUGAUUAUGAUGAUUCUUUAACAAUUACAAUAAAGGGAUUGGAUCUUACUUUUGCUAGAGUUUUGUGGAGAAAUAACAUAGUUAUAGAUCUCUCAAGAAAUAGAUUUGAAGGUCCUAUUCCAAACAUUAUAGGACAUCUCAUUGGACUUCGUGUGUUAAACUUAUCUCAUAAUGUCUUGGAAGGUCAUAUACCAGCAUCAUUGCAAAAUCUAUCUGUACUCGAAUCAUUGGAUCUCUCAUCUAACAAAAUCAACGGAGAAAUUCCGCAGCAACUUGCAUCCCUCACAUUUCUUGAAGUCUUAAAUCUCUCUCACAAUCAUCUUGUUGGAUGCAUUCCCAAAGGAAAACAAUUUGAUACGUUUGAGAAUAGUUCAUACCAAGGGAAUGGUGGGUUACGUGGAUUGCCACUCUCAAAACAUUGUGGUGGUGAUGGUAGGGUACCACAAGCAACAAUUCCAGUUGAGCUAGAUCAAGAAGAAGAAGAUUCACCAAUGAUCAGUUGGCAGGCAGUUCUCAUGGGUUACGCUUGUGGUCUAGUUAUUGGACUAUCUGUAAUAUACAUAAUGUUGUCAACUCAAUAUCCAGCAUGGUUUUCGAGGAUGGAUUUAAAAUUGGAACACGGAAUUACUACGAGAAUGAAAAAACACAAGAAAAGAUAUUAGUGUGUAGCGACCUCCAGGUAUUCAACUUGAUCUUUAUCCUUCAAAAGAUUACUUCUUAUAUAUCGAUGUAUUUUCCACCUCCUUCAUCCUUAAAGCUCUUAACUUUAAUUCUUUAUUUUUGAAAAAUGCAGGAUUCAAGUCUACUUAGUUGCUGGGAAUGUAGAUAAAAGCCUUCAUCUUUCAUAGUUUGUGAUGUUUCCAUGAAGUGUUUGUUAUCUUAUGAAUAAAGAUAUCACUUUUCUUACUUUGAGACUCAACCAAAUUUUGUUUUCAUUUGUCUAUGGCAUGUAGAAACAAAUUCGACAGAAACAGAAAUCGAACACAAACUUGAAUCUUCAUAUCAUUCAAUCGGACGAUAUAUGUCAUCACUAAAAACAUUGUAUUUCACUCAACUCUGUCACAUGACAUCAUAACAAAAACAUAGAGCAGUCGACUUCAUGUUCAGAAACAUAAGUCUCAGAUGACAGAGUUCCCCGAUAUCUCUAUUGGUGGAAGGUAGACGGUACUGGUUGAAUUAAUUGAAUAGAACACAAGUUGACCUGAGCAUCUCUGUUAUACAACAACAAACUACGCCUCAGACCCAAACAAUAACUUGCAUAGAGAUCUGCAAUACUGUUCAAAGCCCAAAAUAAGAUGGACAUAAACACACAAUUGAUUGAUAGAAUUUCUAGUGAUCGAAAUCCAUAUGGAUCUCAAACUUCAUUUGGGAAGAAAUCGAGCAAAAGCUCUUGACUAUAGGUGAGGUUUAUCGUGAUCAACUAUUGUUCAGAUUCAUUAAUUAAUCAGCAAACCGCUCCAUAAUUUCAAAGUUUCGGGGGAAACAGACUUUGGAACCAGAUCUGUCAAGCUAUGACUUAGUUGAUUUUGAUGAGUCGAGAUUCCAUCACCAAGAUGCGGAGUUAUCAGCUCCGCUAAAUAAAACUGUGGGGUGGAACCUUGUGUAUUCCAGCAUCUAACAUUGCUUUUCUCAAGGCAGCAGCAUAAUCCCACCUCUCUGCGCCAGCAUAAAUGAUUCCGUUGUGACUCAAGCAAUAGUUGUGCUACUUCAUUUUCCAAUUCAAUAGCUCCAUGAAGUCUACAAGCACCCAUCAGUGAACCUUUUAAUUGUGUAAAUUUUAUUUCAUGAGAAGUAAAAGAAAAAAAAAAAGGUGAUAUGUGAAUUUACUCUGAAAAUUUUAAAAAGUGACCAUUUUUUUAAUUUUCUUUGGUACGAAAAUGGACUAAUGGACCUGAGAUCAUGCUGAAAGUAUAACUUUACAUUUUAAUAAACAUUUGACAGAAAGCAAAGUAGAAAUUUUCUUCUCUUCUUUUGUUUUGUAAUAGAAAGGCAAAGUUGUGGGUGGGAGUGGGGGCAGGGUUGUUAAAGGAGUAAGAAAAGUUCUGUCACAGCAACCAACACUAUAUUAUCGUAACCAGUCAAUAUCUUUUUAGAAUUUUGACUUGAAAUGUCUUUUCUCAAAGUAUAUACGUCAAUUAUUACUUUAUUCUUAAUCAAACUUUUUGAAUUUUCAGUAGAACUGAUUAUAUCAAUGCAAUAAUUGAAGGUGAGGGGUUCCAAACAAGUACUGCUGCAACAAGUUAGAAACUGGUGAUGUAAUUUGUGUUGAAGGAGUAGCAUUGAGAAUAAGAGUAUCACUUCACUUUAUACAUAGUCUUUUUCUUACCAACUUCUAAUGCGAGACUUUGUUCAUACACCCAACCGACAUAACAACUUUCUACUUUAUUCCGUCGCGGUUAUCAAAUGCAGCUUAUACCUGCAGAUUAUCUCCAAAACAGCUUUCUACCUCAUCACAUCCAGUUCUAAAAUUGUGAAAAUCUGAAUCUGGAAAAGUAAUUAACAAACAUUGAACAGGUUACUGAUCUAUUAUUUUGUUCACUUACAGUAUUAGCCAAUCAUGGAUUUAUCCAAAUAAUACUUUUAAUUGUCCCAAUUUUUAAUAAAAAGAAGAAGAGAAAGUUGUGUGUGUGGAGGGUUGUAAAGAGAAUCAAAACAAAGAACUUUUUUGUGAACUAUUGAAUGAAAUGACCUUCUUGAAUUGAUUACUCCAAAGCAACAACUAAACUUCUUUGCUUAGUUUGUGCUAUAUAUAUCUUAUCAAACUUACUAUAGACACAGAGCAAACAUUCUUGAUUUCUUCUCUAUCAACUUAAUUAGUUUUGAUCAUUUUAGUGCAGAAAUGGGUUGUGUAAAACUUGUAUUUUUUAUGCUAUAUACCUUUCUAUGUCAACUCGCUUUCUCCUCAUCCUUACCUCAUUUGUGCCCCAAAGAUCAAGCUCUUUCUCUUCUACAAUUCAAGCACAUAUUUACCAUUAAUCCUAAUGCUUCUGAAUAUUGUUACAGCAUAACAGACCAAAGGAUUCAGUCAUAUCCACGAACUCUUUUAUGGAACAAGAGCACAGAUUGUUGCUCAUGGAAUGGAGUUCAUUGUGACGAGACAACAGGACUGGUGAUUGAGAUUGAUCUCCGUUGCAGCUAACUUCAAGGCAAGUUUCAUUCCAACAGCAGCCUCUUUCACCUCUCCAAUCUCAAAAGGCUUGAUUUGUCUUAUAAUAAUUUCUCUGGAUCGCUCAUUUCACCUAAUUUUGGUGAGUUCUCUAGCUUGACGCAUCUUGAUUUGUCAGGUUCAAGAUUUACAGGUCUAAUCCCAACAGAAAUCUCUCACCUUUCUAAAUUACACGUUCUUCGUAUGGGUGAUCAAAAUGGGCUUAGUUUUGGGCCUCACAAUUUUGAACUACUCCUUAAGAACUUGACCCAAUUAAGAGAGCUCAAUCUUGACUUUCUGAACAUCUCUUCGAGCAUUCCUCUGAAUUUCUCUUCUUAUUUAAAAACUCUAAGGCUUCUAGACACACAGUUACGUGGGGUAUUGCCCGAAAGAGUUUUCCACCUUUCCAACUUAGAAUCUCUCGAUU